This 55136-nucleotide long non-coding RNA is filed under the name Populus trichocarpa (black cottonwood). Its description in RNAcentral is "long non-coding RNA (PTRI_LNC000455)". The stretch from base 4868 to 4958 matches the Rfam family "MIR478 microRNA precursor family". The record is from RNAcentral. Lineage: Eukaryota; Viridiplantae; Streptophyta; Magnoliopsida; Malpighiales; Salicaceae.
UUCCAAGGGCUUCGCACCUUCAAUUUGGUUGUUUGCAUCUUCCAGCCACUUUUUGACAUCUUUGUAAGUUUUUUCAGCAUUCCUUUCAGCAGCUUCGACAUCGUCUUGCAGACGUUCUUUUGCCGAAACCAGGUUCUGCUUUCGUUCAUUGAAUUCUUCAAAACACAUAAAUAUAGGACAAAAACAGGGAGAGAGACUCUUUGUUUUCUUAACUGUAAUGGUUUAAUAAGGUUUAUAGAGUGUUUUAUAAAUAUUUUAGAUAAAAAAUAGAUUAAAAGCAAGUUUUUAAAUAAAAAAUGAAGCUUUAUUUUUUUAUAUAAUUUAAAUAAAAUCAAUUUAUUUAGUUGUUCAAAAUUAUAACUCAAGUUAUAACUCAAGGGGAAAGACUUACAAAAAAGUAGAAUUACUGGAACAAACACAACAAAGGAUCAAACUCAAGCAAUAAAAGGUAAUUGUUUGAGGUCCUCAUUUCCUGAAAGAAAGAAAGAGGAAGAAAGUAAGGUCACGUAGGGGCCAGCGUUGUAGAAAGAAGAGAUUAUUACAUGGCAAGUGCCGAGUGCCAAAGGGUAAAAGUAUCAAUGAACAUGGCAGUAAUAAUGCCAAGUGACAAGUGACACAAACGAAGCUACCCCUUACCUACUCCAUGGAAGGAAUGUCAGACUAUACAGUCCUUUUCAAUUCAUUAAUGCCGUUCUCUGUUUGUCUUCUAAAACGUACUCCAUAUAUAUGUAUUAUUUUUUUAUUUAUUUACUAGAAAAUAAUUUUUUUAAAAAAAUAAAUUUUAAAAAAGUAAAUUAGUUUUUAAUAUUUGAUAAUGUAAUGAAAAAAUAAAUUAGAAAAUAUUUUUCAGUAUUUGGUUAUGUCAUAGAAAAUAAGCUAAAAAAUAAUUUAUUAAUGUUUUAUUUUUCUCAAGUAUAUUAAAAUAAUAAGAAACAAAUCUUACAAAUUAAAAAGUUGAAAGAGAAUAAAAUUGAAAAAAAUAAAAUUUUAUAAAUUAUCUUAAAUAAAAUAAAUAAUAAUCAAAAUAAUAGAGAUCAAAUAGAUCACGGUACUAAAGUGGUUUAGCAUAGAAGAAUCUAAAAGAAAAUAAUAACAUGUUUUUCAUAGGAUGCAUCUCUCCAAAAAUAUAUAUAUGUAAGACAUAAAUUGUGAGAGAUAACAUGGAAAAGAUCUUGUAUGCCUUGACUGUAAGAUUUAUCUCAUAUGCAAUGUUAUGUAUACAAUUUAUGUAUCUUAUGCUUUAACUAUAAUAAGCAUAACGAGGAGAUAUCAAUCUAAUUUAUAUGGAGAUCGUUUAAAAUUAGUAAAGAGUAAUUUUAAAUAGAUACCAAUCUAAUUUAUAUGGAGAUCGUUUAAAAUUAGUAAAGAGUAAUUUUAAAUACUUUAAAAGAGCUAAAAAUAUAUUUAUGAUCUAUGAAAAAGCUAAACUGGUAGCUCAUAUAGCCUUCAAUCAUAUAUUAAUGAUAACAAAUCCUAGUCUUGAUAUAUUUUUAUUUUGAAUUGUGGUGUUGUGAGUUGAAGAUUUUCUAAACAAAAAAUUACAAUAAAUUGUACAGCUAAAAUGAGUACAUCUUUGCAUCUAAAGUUGUAAAAAGGUUUUUUGGAUUAGGAAUUACAUCACUAAACUAGGUAUGGUUUCUAAGAUCAUUGAUUAAGUAGGUUUUUUUGUGAUAAUAAUGAAUUCAUUACAUAAAUAAACAAAUUAAGGUUUCAUCAAUGGUUCAAACACGUACCUAUGUAAUUCUAUUUUAUUGAAGAGAUCAUAAAAAGAAAAGAUUUAAAGAUAGAAUAACUACCUACUAAAGUGAAUCUUGCAAGUCCUACUACAAGAUGAUAUCCCAUCACAAGUAUGAUCUUCAUGUGUAGGUAUAUGGCAUCAAAUACAUGGUUGCUUGGAUUUAAUGCAACUGAGAGAUUGUUAGUGCGUAUGCUUUUUAGCUGAUUGAGCAAUUGCAUAUGAUACUAGAUUUAUUCGUGCAAUAUAUAUAUAAAGAGAGAGAAAGAGAGAAGAAUUAUUUAUUUUUAAUAUUUAUUUGAAUUUUAUUAAUUAAUCUGAAGUAAAGAUAAAGUUCUUGAGAUGAAAAUAUUUUGGAAAAAAAAUCAUAAAUUUGUUAUAAUUGCAAAGGUUUUUAUUACAUUAAAUCAUUGUCCUUAAAUAUUUCUAAUCAAUGCUCUAUUGAGACUAUAUAUUAAUCAUAGUUAUUGAUACCAAUACAUAUUAUGUUUUUCUCUUUAAAAAAGAUUAUGAAAAAAAAACAAUUGUUCUCAUAUAUUAAGGUAUAAAGGAUACUAGGUACAAAUAUUUGAGUUUUGUUUAAUGAUAAGUGCAUUGACCGUAUAAGGAUUUCAUAUGAAGAGAUUACGUAUGCAUAUAAAAAGACUAUUGUGAUAGUUGUGUAAAUAAUAAUUAUACUAAUAUUGGGGUAUUAAGGUUACUAGGUUAUUUUAUAUGAAGACUAUUAUAUUUUUAUAACACCCUAAAAUUUGCAUUUACAAUAUAAUUGAUGAUUACUUUAGAAUAAUGUAAGAUUAUAGAAAAUCAAAGGAUAAAAGCCAAAGAAAUAAAGAAAAGAAGGUUCAAAAUACAAUUAUCAACUUAAGUAGAUAAAGUAUAACAAUGAAUGGCAAUUAAGUAGAUGUCAUGUUGUCCUACAAAAUUUUCCAGUAGUAACUACAUAUCUUUUUGCAUUUUUUGAACCUAAAAGAGAGCCAAUCAUGUAUUCCAAGAAUAAAUUACGGAGUAUUAGAGCUUGUUGUAACCCAAUUUUGGAUUCACCAAGAUUUUCUUGAAUGUUAUUUUAUUUCUAUUAUUAUUUAUAAAAAUCCAAAAAAAUUAAGAAAAAGUUUAAAAAUUCAAAAAUAUAUUUUUCUCGAGUCAACCGCAUCUUUCCAUCAAAACCGAGUCUACCAGGUCAAUACGGGUCAAACCAUGUCGACCAGGAUAAAAAAAUAGUUUUCGGGCCGUUUUGGGUCAAAACCGUUAUUUUUGACCAAAACCGAGUUCACCAGGUCAAUACGGGUCAAACCAUGUCGACCAGGGUAAAAAAUGAGUUUCGGGCCGUUUCGGGUCAAAACCGUUAUUUUUGACCAAAACCGAGUUCACCAGGUCGAUACGGGUCAAACCAUGUCGACCAGGAUAAAAAAUGAGUUUCGGGCCGUUUCGGGUCAAAACCGUCAUUUUUUACCAAAACCAAGUUCACCAGGUCAAUACGGGUCAAACCAUGUCGAUCAGGAUAAAAAAUGAGUUUCAUGCCGUUUUGGGUCAAACCUGUUAUUUUUUGGUCAAAACCCGGUCCACCGGGUUUAUAUCCAUUGAAAGUUUUUUAUGUUUCAACAUAAUUUUCGGUAAUUAAAAUUGAUUUUUAGCAGUUGAAUCAGGCUUUUUCUAAUACUGAUUUAAGUUUUAAUUUUACCUAUAUAAAUAUAUAUAUUAUAUAUAAUAAAACAAAAUUAAUAAUACAGAAUUGUCAUAUUAGGCGGGGCAGUUACAUUUAUUGUAGGCGAGCAGUUGGAUGGAUACAUUUUUUAAUUUAAAGCCGAUGCUUGCUGUCCCCUUUCAUUGGCUAUAAAUAGCCAGUGACAGUGAGCCAGAAGAGGAAGAAGGAGAAGAAAAAAAAAAAGAAGAAAAAGAAAAAAAGAAAAAGAGAUACUAUUCAGGUUUUUUUUACUAUUUCUUCACGAGAGUAGGAUAUUGAUUUUUAUUAAAAACAAUAUGGAAAAUACCAAAUAUAUCCUAACCGUUAGAUCUAAUAGUGUUUAGAUCUGAAUCGUUGAUUUAAUACAUACAAUAGGGCUUAUCACACCAGAUUAAAACCCAAACACAUCUCAGCCCUUGAAAUAAUCUAAGCUUUGAUCCCGUUGCGCCACGUCACCGGGUGUACCGAGAUUUCGGUGCACCGCGUUACACCCGAUCAAACCUCCGUUCAUCCGGACCGUCCAAUCAACCUGCAGAUCGGGCCAAUCACAGCCGCACGAUCUUUCCAUCAGAGAUCCAACGGAUCACAGGCCUCAGCUGCACCGGUGUACCGUUUCAGCGUUCUCACCGUAGCGUAACCCAGAGCAUCUCUCUCCUCUCGCCGGCGACUCCCUCUCUCUCAUCCGAUCUCCACUUUCCGGUCGUCUCCAGCCUCCGCACCACCACAGAAAGGUUUCUCCCCUGCUGUAAAGAAAAACCCCGGUGGUUUUCAUCGUUUUCUCCGCCUCAUCUGGCCGGAAAAAGACCGCGAUCGUCGGCUGCCACCGAAGCUUCAAGUCGUCGAUUCUCGCUCAUCAGCCAUCAACGACCGUCAAGACCACCACCAUAAGAAUCCUCGACAUCAGAUCUACCAGGAUCGACCAUCGAUUGUCCAGAAAUAUCGCCGGAAAAUCUCCCCGCCGCCAAUAGUAGCCGCGCGUGUGCCACAUGCGCCGCCAGUGGCAUUUUCGUAAUUUUCAGAGAAAUUCGAGGGUAUUUCAGUAUUUUACCUAUACAGUGACACUCAAGUAAUUUUUUAGGUUUCUGCUGGUAUUUUUGAUAUUUUUUUUAUAUAUAAAUGGUUGUAAACUUUCUUGCAUGUUGUAAAAAAAUACAAAAACCAAAGUCGACACGUCUCUUUUUUUUAAAAGGACCGAUGUCAAAAAUGUAAAUACCAAAUAUGGCUUAUGUCCAUUAUUUGUUUUGGUAACCCAGACGUAAUUCUCCUUUUUAGGGUUGAAACGUCAUAUUUUAGACAAGUCUCCUAAUUUUUAGGGACUGGUGUCAUUUUUAACGCGUCUCCUAUUUUUAGGGACCGACGUUAACCAUUUUAAAAAAAAACAAAUUACCAAUAAACCCAAAAUAUAAUGGAUUAUAUCCAUUAUUUUUUUUGGUAACCCAGACGUAACUCUCCUUUUUAGGGAUAAACGUCAAUAUUUUAGACGAGUCUCCUAAUUUUUAGGGACUGAUGUCAUUUUUAACGUGUCUCCUAUUUUUAGGGACCGACGUUAAUCAUUUAAAAAAGAAUUACAAAUAAGCCCAAAAUAUAAUCGCAUUUUGAAUCAAACAAAAAACACACAAGUAAGGGUAACCUUUCUAUUGAAAGGAUGUUUUAAGGGUGGUGUCUACCUUCCCUUAAUCAUAACUAACCCCGUACCCGAAUCUCUGGGACCAGUGUCUAAUUUGGGAUUUCUAGUUCCCUCAAAUUACUAGAUGGCGACUCCAAUAAAAUCUUUGUUUCCCCCAAUCGAGAAAAAAAACCCUUUUUGUUAAAUAAACAAAAAAAGCGGGAGCCGUCGCCCGACGUCGUGUAUCGACAGAAUGGCGACUCCGCUGGGGACUUUAGGGUUGAGCCAACUGCUUGUGUUUGCUUUUCAUUUGCUCUUUCUUAUUGCUAUUUAUUUUUGGGCAUUUAUUUUAUUUUCAUUAUUUAUUUUAUGCAAUAUCUACUGUGAUUCUUUUCAAUUUUUCAUUUCAUCACAUACAUAUAUAUUAUUUAUUUGUGUAUUCACACACUUCACUGUGAACCCAUAAAAGCUCUGGACCCGAGCUCGUCCUUUUUAAGAUUAGAAAAGAGAGAUUCAAGUGGCAAGUGUGACUUAUGUCCACUGAUGCUCAUUUGGACUUUUGCUUGGAUUGUAACUCACCCUAUGCAACUAGUACUGUGGAGUCUUUCUCCCCUACUCAUGUUGUAUAAGGUUAAGAGGCCAAUUACUUCACGAGUAAUUUGGGCAAUCUAAGAACCGGAGAAUAUCUUUAAGGAUAGACUAAACUGAGCCAAACCUUAUGAGCUAGAUCUUAUCAAGUAGGAUAUACCCAUUAGGACACGAACAAAUGUCAAUGCAUGAACAUACAUGUUCAUAUACAUUUCAUGUGCUCAUUAAAUCUCCACCGAUCCUUACAGGAAGUGUGAGAUGGAAAAAUCCAUUACUAUUGAGGAAUUUUUGACCAGAUCAGAAUUGAGCCAGCAUGAUGAAGGGGAUUGUUUGCCAUCAGAAUUUAAGUCUCAGUUGCCAGAGCAUGUUAAAUUAGAUGACAGACCACUUGGUAUAGGACAACUGUUAGACUGCUGGGAAAAGUUAUCCUCUCAUGAUCAAGUCACUUUUCAGAAACAAUAUGGGGAUCUAUCACAUUUACUGAAAAUUAGGGUCCAACAUGCUUGUUUUCAGGCCAUGAUAGGGUUUUGGGAUCCAGAAUAUCGGUGCUUCACAUUUGAUACUGUGGAUAUGACUCCUACUAUCGAGGAGUAUGAAUCCCUGCUAAAUUGUCCCAAGUCAGAAAAGGUGUACUUUUACACACCUAUAGAGCAUGCACUUUCUAACUUUGCUUGGAUUACCCAGACAGACUGUCAAUUAGCAAAAUCACAUGCAACUAAACGAGGAAAUAGCCAGGGUUGGUUUUGGAAUGAACUAGAGGCCAUAUUCAAGAGGAGAUUACAUGAUGAAAGCAAUGAAAUUCGAUUGAGAAUUUUGGCCUUAGGGAUAUAUGGUUUGGUUCUUUUCCCAUCUGCCGAAGGAAUGAUUGAUUUUGAGGCUGUUAAUGUAUUCAAAAAUGUGGUGACCCUUAAAAUUAACCCUGCUACAGCAAUAUUGGCAGAAACUUUCUCAUCCUUGAAUUAUUGCAGAAAAGCUGGAAGGGGUCGUUUAAGAUGUUGCUUGCAGUUAUUGUUUGUCUGGACUGUGAGUCAUAUGAUUGAGGGGAAGAUUUCAGGUUUGGUUGGUACCCCGUGGCAUCUUUAUUCUCAGCUGGAGAAUUUUGCUGAAAAACACUUGCAUGAAGUAGGAAAAACCACAUGGGAAUCAAUGUUCCUAAGUCUAAGUAAAUCUCAAUUUCAUUGGAGAAGUCGAUAUGCUUAUUUCAAAUCUUAUCUGGCGUAUUGUGGUGAGUACCCAUGGGUCCCGUUGAUAGGAGCCCGUUGCUGUAUUAGUUACUGUCCUAACCUAGUUUUACGACAGUUUGGAUUUGAGCAGUUUAUUCCAAGGACUACUAAACUGGCAACAUUUUAUGAAGAUUUCAAGAUCUCAAAGAAAUUAUUGGAGUCAGUGAAGAAGGCAUGGAAACAUCCUGGUAGGGUUACUUCCGCUAAGAGAGUAGAAGGAAAAACAACUGAAGGAUAUCCAAUAUGGCAAAAGAAGAGAGGAAAAGGGUACAAAGUUCCUCCUUUUGAAGGGCCACCCAGGUCUUUGAUUCAGUCUGCUGAAGACACACACGAAGAAGUUCGCGCCCAACAAGAAUCUUAUAACCUAAGUUUGAAUGCUGAAGUGGAAGAGUUAUGGGCUAAAAAAAGAAAGUUAGAAUCUAAUCUAGCCACUCGAGAAAAAGCUUUGGUUAUCAUAAAACAGGAAAAUGAUGACUUGUCAGCUCAGCUACAACAUCAACAACUUGAUUUCCAGCAAUUACAAGAAAAAUAUGUACUUUUGUCAGAAGAUAAGACGAAGCAAGAUGUCAACAUGAAGAGAUGGGUUAGAAGAGCAUCGAAAGCUGAGGAAAUGGUAUUAAAGUUGGAAGAGACAAAUAAAUCACUUCAGGAGCAACAUCAAAAGCAAGAUGUAAUAAUUGCCAAUUUAGAUGAGCAUUUAGACCAUUUGCUUUUUAUUGAGCAAACUUUAUCAUCAGAAAAAGAAAAGGCAGAAAAAGAAGCAGAAUGUUGGGCUUCUGAAGCUAUGCGCUAUCAUGUACAAGCAGAUGAUGCCAAGAAUUAUGCUUUAGGAUUGAGAGGCCUAGCCCAACAUUGUGAAAGAUUGAAUCAUGAUUUGUUCUAUUAAAGUAAAAUAUGUGUUUGGUCUAAAUGUUAUGUUGAUAAAAUAGCACAUGAUAUGUGAAAAAAAGCUUGUUUUAGGUGAAAUUAUGGUAGCCUACAUACUACAUAUAUUGCCAUUGAGGUAGUAAAUGGAUAUGAGAUAUGAACAUUGAAUUGGCAUACAUGUAACACUUGUGCAAUUGUUAUGUCAAUAUGAAAUUGAGCCUAAAUGUUAAAAAACUUGUGAAGUUUACCAUGCUUAUUGAUCUAAUCAUUUUCUAAUUAGGAUUAUAAUUUAUAUUUUGGAUAAUAUAUUAGAAGCCUAAUAUGUCACAUAUGUUAAGAAUCACUAGUAAAAAAUUAAAUUGGAAUGUAAAAUAAUGACUUGAUUGUGAAUAAGUUUUAGAAAUUUAGGGAUUAAAAUGUAAUUUGUACAAUAUAUAUAUUACAAUUCUAAACAUAAAAAAAUCACUUAGGGACUUGAUUAAAUACAUUUCUAAUAAUUAUUAUGAAAUAAAAUAUAUGAUGUUUUGCAGUGGGAAAGUGAUGUUUUAUGGUGAUUAAUUAGGGUUAGGUUUUAAAAAUAAAAAGAAAUGCCUCAUCAUCUGCAUAUAGUUGUGUAAAACAACAUAACACCCCUAUAAAGAGAUCUACUAUAGGGUUAUUAAAAAGUUAAAAAUGAGUUAGCACUCAUUUCUUUCUCCAAAAAAGAUUUACGAGAUUUUCUAUUUGAUGAUUCAUGUUAAUUAUAGUUAAUUGAAUAGUUAGUGGUAUACAAUAACCCAACUAUGAAGAGUUUAUCAAAGCCUAAAAGAAAAAAAUAUGUCUUAGAUAAUCUUCAAUAAAAUCCUAAAUAACUCUUAACUGUUUAACAGGGACUUUAAAAAAUAAAUUGUUCCAUUCUUUUUUUUUUUCCCAGGAAACCUAGCAAUUCAUCCAUAUGAAUAUAUAUGAAAGGGGUGCCACUUUAAACAAAAGUGUAAAAACUAGUUGGAAGCAUAAGACCAUAAUAGUGCUUAAUUCAGUGAAUUUCUCGAAGUAAGAAUGUAGCUUUUAUGUGUAUUUUUUCUCGGCUGACCUUAAAAUCAACCAUGUUUUAAAACUUAGGCAAUCAUUAAUUUAGUUUAAAAAUUGCAAAAUUAACAUAAUUAAAAGUUUAAAUUGGAGGACACCUUUAAAGUUAAAACUAUAUAAUGAAUCUCUUAAAGUAAGAUCUUAUGCAGCUUUACAUGUGUAUUUUAUUCUAUUUAAACAUCAAUCAUUAAAAUGCAAUUCCUAUAAGAAAUGCAAUUGUAUGAGAUAUUAAUUAAGGCAGAAUACAUAACAUGAAGAAAACAACAAACAAAAAUAAAAAAACAAGAAGAAUCUGUACAAGGACUUACCUGAUAAAGAAGAGAGGAACGAACGAAUGGAAGGUUCACGAUGAUCACUUGAAUGGCUGCACAGAUGAUGCCAGCUCCCUGUUGAUCACUUCCCACCACAUAAAUAAUUAAUCUAAAGAGUUAUGCACAGAUGAUGCCAGCUCCCUGUAUCUAUAUGAAUUUCAUUGAUAGAAAUAUUAAACUAAUAAUUCGUUACAGUCCUUCUAAAGAAAAACUUUAUGUUAAAAAGAGGAGAAAUGUUAAAACAACAUAGUUUAGAUGGAUUAAAACUAGCAUUAUAAACAAUUGUGAGAUAAAGCGGCAAUUCCAUGAAAAAUACAAUUCGAUGACAUAAUUACGAUAGUGACGACAAUCAUAUAGAAGAACUCACCUAGUAGCAUAAAGAUUGUUGCAUUCUCUAAUCUCAAUUUCACACAAAUCGGGGAAGCAUAAAGAUUGAAGAUGAUCUCCAGGCAAUAUCUGAUCCUUUUCAUCAUCAUUAUCCCUAGCAAUGAUUUGCUCCAAUUCCUCACAGGACAAUAUCUUUAGGACUUUCAGUUGAACUAGACUGACAAUCAUGGCUACUGGGAAGCACGAGAUCCUUCAACCCCUGCAUCGAAAGAAAACAAGGAUACCAAUUUGUUAGAUAUAAUUCUUUAUAAAUUUUGUGCACUUUGAAAAUAUAUAAUUUUGGUAAAUAGAUGAACGAAUUGUCCCCACUACUUCAGCCAAAAACUUAUCAACAAAAGGAUAUAAGUAGACAUGGCAACAGGGCAUGGGAAUAUGAAAUCAUAAGCUGCAGGACUGAAACGAACAACUCAAUAUUAGCAGAUGGAGGUUUAUCUUCCUCUUCAAAUACUUCCAUUAAUUGGGGGAAGAGCCUCAAUUUCACUCAAACUGGGAAAGCAUAAAGAUUGAAAAAUCUCGAUAUCAUUUCAUUACAAUAAUUAAUUUCUUACUUCUUAAGCCCUUCUCCUUUUGAGAGAGAUGGGGGAAAGGGUCUCUUUCAAAAAACCCAGCCACCGUUCCAGACAAACAUAAUUCCUUCUCACAAACACAGAAAACAACCUGAUCUUCCAUACAAGCCAUACAAGCCAUAUUACCCCCAGUCUCAGCUACCAUCCAUCACCUUAAACACUCAGAAUUUAACAAACUACCGUGGUUUUCACCUACAAUGUUACUUUGAAAACUUCCCAAGUUGGGUCGAUUACCAUAAGCUCAAAGACCGUUUCAGAAAACAGGGCAAAGUUAUUAAGUUUGUUUCUCGGAAAACAAAUCAAGCAGGAAAGCAUUUUGGCUUCGUCACCAUCCUCUCGAAUCUGUCAGACAAAACUCUGCUAGAAUGUUUAAAUGACAUAUGGUUUGAUUCCUACAAACUGAGAGUUAAUGUGGCUAAGCACAGAAGAAAAGAUGAAGUGAUGAAACAGAAAACAGUGGGAACAGGGAAACAAAUAUCCAAGCUCAACAACAAAGCCAAGGCCCCCAUCCGUGUAAGAGACAACCGAAGCUAUCUUGAGGCAAUAAGAUCAGGGAGUCAAGUGCAUCAAGCGUCUGAUAAUGCCACACCACGUCCUCAUAACUUCAUCUCUUUCAACACUACAGAUGAGGAAAUUCUAUGGUUAAGAAAUAGUCUUAUAGGCAAGAUAUCUCAGGGAGUAGAUUAUGCACAAAUCAGACAUGGAUUAAUUCAGCUAGGCAUCUGCUUCUCUGCUGUCCGUUUCCUGGGGGUUCCCAGGCAAUCAUAAGCUUUGAUGGUGAGAAAUCUAUGCAACAAGCCAUGCAGAAAGGUAUGGAAUGCUGGAAGCUCUACUUUGAUGAAGUUGGCCCGUGGACGGAAAAAGAUGUGAUAGAGAGUCGUCUAGCAUGGAUCUCCAUCUCUCAUUUGCCUAUCUCUGGCUGGAGUCUGAGAUGUAUCUCAAACCUUUUCAUUGUUAAAGAACCAUCUCAACCCAAUAACUUAAGCUAUUAGGUAAGGUUCCAGGAUAUGAUUUGUAUUAUUCUCUAACACACCCCCUCAAGUGAAAGCUCUUUAGGCUUGAAACUUGCACAUGCCCAUAUUAUCUUGUGCUUGAUUUUUAUCAAAUAAUGGAGAUGGUGAGAUUCGAACUCGUGACCGCUUGGUCAUUAAGGCUCUGAUACCAUGUUAAAGAACCAUCUCAACCCAAUAACUUAAGCUGUUAGGUAAGGUUCCAGGAUAUGAUUUAUAUUAUUCUCUAACACUCAUGAACCAUGGACGGGUGAUAGGUUUUGACAAGACCAGCCUAAAAAUCUCUGAACUUCACAGCGUGAAAAUCCUUAUAGGUACUCACUUGCCGGAGAUCCACGACUCUAUAGAUCUCAUGCUAAACUCCAAGUUAGUACACGUACAGCUGGAUGAGAUUGACCUUUUAAAAUAUCCAGAGGCAAAAGGAAUUUCAUAUUCUAUGGCAGAAUUUCAAACCACAUUACUUCAAGGAGAAGAUGCUGACAGUGACUCAGAUGAUGAAGUGUACACUGAUCUGGCUUUUGACUUGGUAGGAGAUGACAACAUUUGCAGGCUGGCUAUUGCUGAUAAGAAUUUUGGAGCUAAUGACAAGGCACACACGCUGGAGGCAAGGAAGCACAACCCACAUGGGACAUACCAGGUCUACGAUCAUAACUUUCCGGCCACAAUAAAUGCCACUGACAACACAGAACGGCUACAUAUCAUUGUUGAAGAUCUCUUUCCAGAAAUAGCGGCUCCUAGGACUCCCCACCACUGUUUCUCUACCAACAAGCUUUCCCAAAAUCAACUCCAAGCAGAACGGGGCCUUGUCUUAUACGACGUGAAUUCAGCAAGCCCACUGUAGCAUCAAAGCAUGGCCUUUAAAAGAGACUUUUUCUCGCCACAACCUUAUACCCCUGUCAGCAAUGAUAAUUCUUUGGAAUCCCACUGCAAAGCCCAAAGCCUGCCUCUUACACCCAACCAACACCGGACCACAACAGCCAAACAACCAAGACUAAAUAAAAUAUCCUCUAUUGGGAGUCUCCUUUCCUUGCACUCUUUAGCAAGCAUAUCUUCUACAGACUCUUACAUUAGGGUGAAUAAUAACCAUAACCUGAAGAAAUCUGCAGCGGAGUCAUCUCACAAUGAAGUCAACAAAAUGAUCCAUUUGGAAGAAGCUAUUGGUCUUGGUAAUUCAGCUCUGAUGGAAAAAAUUUCUGAGCUUAUCAUAAGGCAGCUAGAAAAGGAGAGGGAAGAUUGACAGAAACAACAAUGAAUAGUGAGUUUUCAUCCCUGUCCCUGCAGAUAGAUCUUUUAAUUCUGUCAUGAAUAUUCUUUCUUGGAAUUCCUGCGGCUUGGGCAUGAUGAGGAAACGAAGAAGAAUCACAAAAUUAAUAACAGAAUAUAAGAUUGAUAUAUGUUUCCUGCUGGAAACUAAGCUAGCUAAUUCUUCCAUUGGCUUUGUAUCUCGUAUUUGGAAUGAAAAUCAUAUGAGUUGGUUUAGUAAUGAUGCUCAGGGAUCAAAAGGAGGUCUGCUUGCUAUGUGGAAAAACACUAACUUUGAAGUCUCUAAUAUUGAAUAUGGUCAUGGUUGGAUCGGUUUAUAUGGUAAACAUGUUCACAGUGAUUUUCAUUGCUUUGUUAUUGGCAUCUAUUCUCCUUGUAACUAUCAGGACAGACAAAAACUUUGGGAUGAUCUCAUUCUUCUUAAGCACGCUUUUGAAGUUCCCUGGAUAAUAGCAGGAGAUUUUAAUGAAACACUCUCUCAGAAAGACAAAAAUAGUGGAAUCUGUCAUCCUGUAGACUCAAAUUCUUUUAGCAGAUUUCUGCAGUCUUGUGAGCUCACUGAAUACCCUUUAGCAGAACGUUAUUUUACCUGGUUCAGAGGAGGGUCCAAGAGAAAAUUGGACCGUAUGUUCGCAAACACAUCCUGCUAUCUUCACUUCCCCAGUUUAUCUCUUCGACAACUUCCAAUAGAGUUCUCGGAUCAUUGCCCUUUAAUUCUAUCUAGCUUCUUGCAGGACCAUGGAUGGCAUCCUUUUCGUUUAUUGGACUGUUGGACUCAGUACCCAAAUUUCAAGCACAUUAUUGAAAACUUCUGGAAUGAUGCAUGCUCCCUUCACCCUGGCCGCUUUAAAUUUCUCAAAAAGCUCAAUCAUAUUGCAGUCAGAUUGAGGCAAUGGAAUAAGCUUGAAUUUGGAAAUCAAGAAGCUGCCCUUCAAUGAACCCUUUCAGCUUGCCCUUCAAUGAACCCUUUCAGCUAUCAACAUACUAGAGGAAAAAUGUGAAGAAGAAGGUAUAACCGACCAAGAGCAGGAGCAUUUAGACUUUUUGUUGAAAGACAGCUGGGUUCGCAACAAUCACAUUGAAUCUAUUUGGAGGCAGAAAUCAAGACAGAUGUGGUGCAAAUUGGGUGACAGAAAUAACAAGUUUUUUCACUUGAUUGCCAAUUUCAGGAAGGCUAAAUCAUCUAUCCUUAAAAUCCACCAUAAUGGUAACACUUUUGAUUCUCAGCAGGGUAUUAAGCAGGCUGCUGUGGAUUAUUUCUCUGAGCUGUAUGACUCCCCCUCUGAAAAAAAGUUGUAGUUAAAUCCUUUGGGUUUCAAAUGCCUCUCUAAAGAAUCCUUUGAAUGGCUAAAGCAGGAAAUCACAAUGGAAUAAGUGAGACGCAGUGUAUGGGGUUGUGAUGGGUCAAAAUGUCCUGGACCAGAUGGUUUCAACUUCAAAUUCUACAAAUUAGCAUGGGAUUUUAUUACUCAAGACAUCCUCGAUAUAGUCUUAAGCUUCUUCAGAACAGGAAGGCUACCCAAAGGAAUCAAUACAACCUACGUAACUCUCCUCUCCAAGACAGUAGAACCCAUAGAGUUUAAAGAUUUUCGACCCAUCAGCAUGAUUCAUGGUAUCUACAAGAUCAUUGCCAAAAUCGCAUCCAGACUGAAAACUGUUAUGCAAGAUAUCAUUAGCAUUAACCAAUCAGCGUUUAUAGCAGACCACAACAUUAUAGAUGACUUUAUGAUUGCAAAUGAGCCGGUGAGUGAUUUAAAAAAGCGAAAAGCGGCAGGUCUGAUUUUCAAGAUUGAUUUCCAUAAAGUCUUCGACUCAGUCUCCUGGGAUUACUUAGAUGAUAUCAUGGGUUAUAUGGGGUUUGGCAGAAAAUGGAGAACCAUGAUUUAUGAGUGUCGUCCUCAUCAAUGGAUCUCCUUCAAAAGAAUUCUCUGUUCGGCGAGGACUGCGUCAAGGAGACCCGAUUUCCCCUUUUCUGUUUGACAUAGCUGUUGAGGGCCUCUCGGUCCUCUUUCAAAGGGCAUCUAGUGGGAAUAUUAUCAAAUGGCUGCAAUUUGCAUUAGGAAUUUUCGUCAACCAUCUACAAUAUGCAGAUGACACGUUAAUAUUCAUCCCGACAGAUAUUGAUCAGUUAGUUCAAGUCAAAAGAAUUUUAAGAUGGUUUGCUCUGACUUCAGGCCUUUAUAUAAACUUCCAUAAAAGCUCCAUUAUUGGUAUCAAUGUUGACGAUCACUUGUGCUUGCGCUUGGCUACAUCUAUUUUCUGCAGAUCAGACCCCCUCCCAAGCAAAUAUCUUGGCAUGCCACUAGGAGCCAAUCCAUCUCAUAUCUCUACAUGGAAGCCAGUGAUAGAGAAGUUUCGUAAAAGGCUUCAUAUGUGGAAAGGGAGAUUACUAAGCUUGGCUGGUCGUCUAUGUCUCAUUAAAAGUGUCCUUAAUUCCCUGCCUAUAUAUUUUAUGUCUGUAUUCAAGAUGCCAAACGGGGUAGGCAGACUUCUUUCAUCCAUCCAAAGACGUUUCUUGUGGUGUGGAUGUACCAAGCAAAGAUCUUUCUGCAAGAUCCAAUGGAGACUAGUGAUGCGUGAUAAGAAACAAGGAGGCCUCGGUGUAGGCUCCCUUAUAUCGAAAAACAGAGCCCUGCUGCUAAAAUGAAUUUGGAGACUCUCCUCCCCAUGUACAAGUUUAUGGAAAAUGAUUAUCUUUUCGAUGUACAAUCCAGCUUAUGAGAAUGGGAUCCCAAUUUUCUACAACCAACCCUCUAAGAUUUGGAAGGAUAUUAUGUCCAUUGUUCAAACCGACGUUCACCACGUCUUCACGAAUCAUUGCAAAUUCGUGGUGGGAAAUGGCAGUUUAACAUCCUUUUGGCUAGACAACUGGAUUGGUGACUACCCUCUCAAAACAGCCUUCCCUAGGCUAUAUCUUUUGUCUUCCUCUGAAUCUACUUUGGUGGCUGACAUGGGUAGAUGGAGCAAUGGAAUCUGGCUCUGGUCCUUACAAUGGCGCAGACCUCUAUUUCAUUUUGAACAAGAACAACUAUCACUUUUAUCAUCCAUGCUGGAAUCCAAGCCAAUGUUCUGCCACAAGAUGGAUAAGAAAAUCUAGACCCUCAACAGCGAUGGCCUCUUCAGUGUAAAAUCUUGCUCCAAAAUGAUGGAUCAGCUGCUCUACGGUGGUGCCAAACCAUUCCAAUCUUCUAUUUGGAUAAAACUAACCCCACCAAAAGUGUAACUUUUCCUUUGGCUCCUUGUCCAAGACAAAGUAACCACAAGAGAUUUUCUAUUUCAGCAUGACUACCUCACUCUUCAGGAGUCAAGAUGCGCUUUCUGCAAUAAAAGCUUGGAAUCUUCAAGUCACCUCUUCAUUCACUGCCACUUCACUUGGAAUAUAUGGAUGAAACUGCUUUCUAAUCGGGGCUUUUGCAGUGUUUUUCCAAAAUCUGUUGAUGAUAUGUGCUACCAAUGGUCUUCUAUGGUUAAAGGCAAGCAACAGAAUCUCUCAUGGCAUCUUCUUUUCUCAUGAGUUGUUUGGAAUCUUUGGCUUCACCGAAAUGAUUUAUUUUUAAUGACGCUACCCCUAACUUUCAAAUUUGUUUCUCCAUGGUGCGCCAAAGUAUUGCUUUAUGGCUGAGGCUUGAUUCCAACUCUUUAGAGCUUAAUAUAAAGAAUGUUUAGUCGGGAGAAGUUGGUUUCUUAUGAUUUGUUUGUUCCCCCAUUUGUUGCUCUCCCCUAUUUCAUGCAACAGUUUUUGUGCUUUCCUUUCCUCUAUUGUUCAUUUGAUGUAAGUUAGGCUAUUAUCUUUGUAGCCUUUUUUCUUAAUAAAAAUUUCGACUAUUAACCAAAAAAAAUGCCAACAUCUUUUUAAUAAUAUGUAUCUGAUCGGCACAAUUAUUUAACUUUACAACAAGAUAGACGACUUAUAUAUAAACUUGGAUAUAGAGAUUAAACGAGUCUAGUAGAAGAAGAUGGGAUUAAAUUGAAUAAAAUAUUUCACUAUCUUUCUUCAUGGAUCGUACUUGCAAACAUGUAUGAACACAUAAUGUAUGCAUAAUAUAAAGACAACGAAAAUUAGCACAAGAAUUAGUUGAAACACACACCUUGAUAGAGACAUAAACGAAUGAUUAUGAAUGGAAGGUUCACGGUCACUUAGACACUCGCGCACUUGAUUACACCUUUCUAUCGAUCGAUUCCAACCGCAAAUAUAAUUUUUCAAGGACUUAUGUAUGUGAUGCUACUAUAUAGUUAUAUAUGGUCUCUCAAAGUUUUUUUUUUUUUUGAAUGAUGAUCAGGGAAAAAAACUAAGGACUUGAAAAGCAGAAAUAAUUGAUUGAAUGAAAAUCCUAUGUGCCACUUUCAAGGAUCAAAUUUAAGCUAGCAUCUAUAAGUAAUCUGUUUAUGAAUAUCCCUUUAUCACACUCAAGGAAUAAGGACUAUGAUUUACCCAUAUAGAAGAAAAAGAGACAUUCCUUAUUUUAAAUUUGAUUUACUUAUGAAAUAGGCUAAAGACAAUAACUUUAGCAAUCUAAAGAGAAGUUCCUCUCUUUUUUUCCUUACACUAGGCUUGUUGCAAGUGUGCGGUGUCGCAGUAAAUAUAUCCACUCUUAUAUGGUAUUUGGAAAAUCAAGAAAUGGAGAAAACAAGGAUUUAUUAUUUUUUUUCGGUGGAAAGAGGGAAUGAGAAUCACCACCUAGUAUUUUGAUAACUAUGAACCUUAAUUGUUCUCAGAGAUCGGGCACGGGAAUUGGUUGCGUAAGGAAAAAGUAUUAGCACUCUAAAUACUUCUUACCAAAUGUAAGUUGCAUGGUUUAAUUGUCUAAUUAAACUAGUUGUCUGAUUGUUGGGUUGUCUAAGGUUGAAAACAAAUCCUUCUCAGUAAAUAGAUCCUUAUCUUAUCGGGUAAAAACCUAACCGUUUUAAUGUCAAUAAAAACAAAACUCCCCUUUUAAUAUUGGAUAUAUGUCUUAUAUAUAAGUUUGUAAUCCCAGAUAUUAAAAGAAAAUAAAAUAAUUUUUUGAUAUUUUAGAAAUAUUGGCCUAUCUUAUGGCUUUAAUAAACCAGUUAUUAAAGCAAAAAAUGCAUGCUAAAACAUAUUUUUUGAAUUUUUUAUUAUAUGAAAAUUUCUUAUAAUAUGUGAGAGACGUGGUCGUAUAUAUGAAAACAAAACACUUUUUUUGUUGUUUAGAUUUUUUUUACGUUUCCUAGAAAACCGAGUAUUUUAAUACCAUAUUUGUAUCUUUACAGUAUAAAAAUACAAGUCGAUAUUAAGCAAAAUUGGUAGAAUUGUUUUUUGAGAAAAUCACAUAUUUUUUUAAAAGGAUUUUUGGAAUUUUUUUUAAUAUAAUAUACAAUAUUAUAUAAUAUUAUAUUAUAAUAAUGGAAUGGGUCUGGCCUAGUUGUAUGGGUUGGGCCUAUCCUUGUUGAGUCAAUACUAGCCCAAGAGAGAUUGGGUUGAGGUAUGCCUAGAAAAGAAAAUAGGACGAAGCGGGUCCAAAGAGUUGGGCCAAUAUCGGCCAAAAACAGGUGUUGGGUCGAUGUCGGCCCAACAAAGACUAUUUCAAAGGAACUGGGGUGGACCUGACCCAAUGGAUUUUGGUUUUAGACAAACCCGGUUCAGCCCAUAAACAGUGAACUUUUCAUUGUUCACUAGCAGAAUAGUGGAGAUGAUGCCGAAGAAGGAGAAGAAGGAGGAGGAAGAAGGGAGGGCGGGAGCUUACCUAAUGGUGGCUCACGAUAGCGUUGGUGGUUCUUCUUCCAAACAAGGUGGUUGUGUAUCGAGGAGCCGCUUCGCCGGUGGUUCUUCUUCUUUUUCUCUGUGUUUUUUCCUUUGUUUUAUUUAUAUUCUUUCUCCUCUCUAUUUCUCUAUCUUCCUUCCAUUUUUGUUCUUCUUUAUUUGUUCCUUUUUUUUCUUUUUUUCUUUUUUUCUUCUUCCCUUUCGUUCCUCUGUUCUCCCUUGUUCUUCUUUCUUUUCUUUUUCGUUUAUGUUUUUCAUUCUUUUCUCUCCUCUUUCUUUGUGUUUCUUUUAUGUUUUCUAUUUUUCACCUCUUCCCCCCCCCCUUUUUUUUUUCUUUAUUUCUUCUCCUAGUCCUCCCCUGUAUUUAUAAGGGGUAGGAGGAGAGAGCCACCUUACCCUACUUAAUCACGUCAAAUGGGUAAGGUGGUCGGGCGGCUAAUGGGCUGCCGCACGUAGGGCUUGUCCCCCUUUUUUUUUUCAUCUUGGUAGGUCAUGGGUAUAGGUUGUGUUGGGUUUUGGGUUUUAGGGAGAGAGAGGGAGAGAGAAACAGUUGUUGCAAAGGAGGGGAAGAAAAACCUUUUCCCCCCUGCCUAUACAUGUUCAUAGGAAGAAGCUCGUGAACAGUGUCAUCAAAACGACAUCAUUUGCACCUUUUAUUUUUAAGGAAUAGUGCAUGAAACGACAUUGUUUUGAACAAAAUGUGUCGUUUCAUUAAAAUGAAAAAUGGCGCCAAAGAAGUGUCAAAUUCUAAGUCAAUCCUCAAUUUUUUAUUUAUUCAAUGAAGUCCUUAAUUGCAAUUUUGAUUUUAAGAAUUAAUUCAAUUACAUCCCUGCCAAAUUUAAAUUCUAAAUCAAUUCAAUUUUUAUUUUGAUCUUUGGCCUCGGAUUUAUGCAAUUUAAACCCUAAUUAACCAUCAAACUUUUAAAUUUUUUCAAUUUAGCCCUUGAUUCUCGUCAAUUGGAUCCCUAGAGUUUUUAAACUUUAAUUGUUUCGAAUGACAUCAAAAUUGAGUAUUUAAACACCUAAAAAAGAACAUUUUUACUAAUGAGUUGUGUAAAUUAAAACUGUGGAUUACCAUUUUGGCCUACUAAUUUCACUUGGCAUUUAGGUCUUUCUGGACAUUUUAUUUUAGGCUUGCUUCAAGUGUAUUUCCUUGCAUUUAUUUUAUUAUUUAUUAUUUUAUUAUAAAAUGGAUAACAUAGAUAAUAAUCAAUCACAUAAAAAUACACAAUGAUUUAGGGGCACACACAACUAUAAUAGUUUAUUUCCUUUUAAAUGAAUCCUAAAACUUUGUCCCUACAGUUAAUAAGAGCUUUCUGAAUAUGAUUUCGGCCAUUUUAGUAGUCUCAACAUUUCAUAAUUAUCCUUCUCAAAACACAAUUGACGUGAGUAUCUUUUUAAUCUUCGUCGAUACAGUUGACUCUAAUAUAUAUUAGUCUUUUAUUUUUUUUAUUUUUUAUUUUUUUUUGUAAAAAAAAUAAAAAUAAAAAGAAUAAAAAAUUGAAUUAUGACAAUAACAAUUAAAUUCAAGGAUAAUGUUACUUUGAUCUACUAUAAGAAUUUAAUUUACUCAUUUAACCCACAAAAUCAAUAUUAAUUAACUCAUUUAUACCACAUUUAACAAUUUCAACCCAAACAGUCCUAAUUGUCAUUAAAAUAUAAGAAUUUAAUUUAUUCCUAAUUAAAAAUAAUUAUUUCUAUUUUUAUAAAUUUUUCUUAAAAAGUAAUUAAAAUAAUUGUUUUUUAUCAAAUUUUAAACAAUUCAUUCGUAUUUCAAUUCAUAUAUUUAUAAGAAUUUAAUUUUUUUAAUUAAUUUUUAAAUUUCAUUCCAAAUCUACAAUGUAAAGAUUAAACUGGAUUAUUGUAAAAAUCAAUAGGAGGUCUUGCUUGUUGGAGCUAAUAAUGCCCUCUUUUUUGGCAGCAUAUUCAUGUGGUUUUAUUUAAUUUCUCUGGUUAGUUUAUAAAUUUAUUUUGUUGGUUUCAACAUUAAUUUAUUUCAAACCAAUUUUCUUAUCAAAAUUUUGAGAGUUUUAAAUAAGAAAUUCUAUGUUGUUGAAUUUGUAAUCAUAAUAUUUACCACAUAAACACAAAUAUAAGAAUAAGAGAUAAAUAUAAAAGAGGGGAUUUUUUAAAAUAAUAUUAUCAUUUCUUAUAAAAUUGAUUUUUUUUUUAUUUUUUUAUAUAUCUAUUCUCUUCUAUACUAUAAAUAUUAAUAUAUAGAUAUAAUAACAUAAAAAAGUAGAGAUCCGAACAUAAAAAAUUAUUAUUAUUAUGGGAUAAACUAGCAUGAAAUCUAGAAAUGGAUAAUGCUGGUAAGCCCAACACAAAGCGAUACCCAAUGGAGUCCAACUAAGGUAGUAGAAAGGGCCGAAUCCAACUAAGGUAGUAGAAAGGGCCGAAGGGACUCUUUUUACAAGGAAGCUGCCACAUUUUAAAAUAAGAACUAGAACACUUCAAAAGUUUUUUUUUUUUUUUAAAAAUAUAUUUUUUUCUUUACUUUAAAUUAAUAUUUUUUUGGUAUUUUUAGAUCAUUUUAAUACGCUGAUGUCAAAAAAAUUUAAAGAAUAAAAAAAAUAUUAUUUUGAUACAUUUUCAUGCCAAAAAUACUUUAAAAAGUAAUCACAACCAUUCUCCCAAACACGUUUAUAUAUUCAUCAAGAAACAUGAAAACAAUAAUGGAUGAAGUUCAAGAAAGAGAGAGAGAAAAAGAAUUCAAUGCAUCAAAGAUUGAAUACGUUAGCUAUGGUGGUGAGCAUCACCUACCAUUAAUCAUGAAUCUUGUCGAUCAAGAACUUAGCGAGCCUUACUCCAUCUUCACCUACCGUUACUUUGUUUAUUUUUGGCCACAACUUUCUUUCUUGGUAAGUGUGAUUCUUUUCUUCUUUUAUGUUGUUGGGAUUUUUUUUUGUGUUGUAACUGUGUUUUUGUUGGUGGGUUUUCAAUUUCAGGCAUUUCACAAAGGCAAAUGUGUAGGGACUGUUGUUUGUAAGAUGGGGGAUCAUCGGAAUUCAACUUUUAGAGGUUACAUUGCUAUGUUAGUUGUCAUCAAACCUUAUCGAGGAAGAGACAUUGGUAAUGGCUUCUUCUUCUUCUUUUUAGAGGUUAAUAUAUAUUAGUGAUUAAAGGAAACCAGGGCACUAAAGAUUGGUUGAGGAGGUUAAUAAGUACGAAGAUUGAAAUUUGACAAUAUCUCUCUCUCACUUGCCUGAAAACACCAACACAACUCACAUUCCCCUCAUGGCCUACCACUGUGAUGAAAGAGGUAGAGGGGACAAGCCUUGUGGGUGGCCCUAGGAUGGCUACAUAAUGGCCGCCCAACUUCUUCACCCCUUUGGCAUGACUGGACAGAGGUAAGUUAAGUCUCUUUCUCCUUUCCCCUUAUAAAUACCCCCCUCACCAGGAGGUGAGGGGGAGGACGAAAAGAGUGAAAAAAACAGAAAAAAAAACAAGGAAAAACAGAGAAUGAAAGAAAAAGAAAGUUUGAAGCGAAUAAACAGAAAAGAAAGAGAGAAGAAAGAAGAGAAACAAAGAAAAAAUAGGAAAACAAACUCCUCGGCUUCCUACCAUCUUUUUUUCCCUUACCAAUGUCGAUACACGACGUCAGGCGAUGGCUCCACUUUUUGUUUAUUUAACAAAAAGGUUUUUUUUCGAUUGGGGGAAAUGAAGAAAUCCCAAAUUAGACACUAGUUCAAGAGAUUCAGGUACGGGGUUAGUUAUGAUUAAGGGAAGGUAGACACCACCCUUAAAACAUCCUUUGAAGAGAAAGGUUACCCUUACUUGUGUGUUUUUUAUUUGAUUCAAAUGCUAUUGUCUUUUGAGCUUAUUUGCAAUUUUGUUUUUUUUUUAACGUCGGUCCCUAAAAAUAGGAGACACGUUAAAAAUGACAUCAGUCCCUAAAAGUAGGAGACUCGUCUAAAAUAUUGACGUUUGUCCCUAAAAAGGAGAGUUACGUCUGGGUUACCAAAAGAAAUAAUAAUGGACAUAAUCUAUAUUUCAUAUUUAAACUUUUGACACCGGUCCUUUUUCUGUAAAAAGAGACGUGUCGACAAACAAUAUUCAUUUAUAAAACAAAAAUUAUUUUGAUAUCGUUGAGAAAUGGGUUUAACCAUACUUGAAAAUUAGGCUUUGGACCCACGAACGAUGACAUGAUAAGAUGGGUGUUGGACCCAUGUCGUUAUUCCUUUUAUAUUUGUUUUUUUUCACAUGCAAGAAAAUUUACAAGUAUUUAUAUAUAUAAAAAUAUCAAAAAUACCAUUAGGAACCCCAACAAAUUACCUGAGUGCCACUGUAUAGGUAAAAGACGGAAAUACACUUGAAUUUCUUGGAAAAUUACGAAAAUGCCCCUGUGGCGCGUGUGGCUCAUGCUUGGUUACUGUUGGAGGCGGUGAAAUUUUCCGACGAGAUUGCCGACCAACAAAUGGUUGAUUCUGGUAGAUCUGAGGGAUAGGAUUCUAAUGAAGGUGGUUUCGACGGCCGUUGAUGGCUGACGAGGGAGAAUCGUCGGUUUGAAGCUUCGGGUGGCCGACGAAAUUGCGGCCUUUUUCCGGCCAAAUGGGGAGGAGAAAACGCUGAAAGCGGCCGGGGUUUUGCUUUAUAGGAGGCUAGCAACCUUUCUGUGGUGGUUAGGAGGCUUCACACGGCCGGAAAUUGGAGAUCGGAUGAGAGAGAGAGAGAAUUGCCGGCGAGAGGAGAGAGAGACUCUGAGGUUUGGCGACGGUGUGAAUGCGAGCAUGGUACACCGGUGCAGCUGAAGGCUGUGAACGGUUGGAUCGCGGAUGAACUGAUCCUUCGGCUGUGAUGGGCUUGAUCUGCAAGUUGAUCAGACGGUCCGGAUGGGCUGAUUUUUGAUCUGGUAUGGCGCGGUGUACCAAGAGCUGGGUACACUGGGUGACGUGGCACAACAAGAUCGAAGGGUAGAUUGUUUUAAGGGCUGAGAUGGUUUCGGGUUUUAAUCUAGUGUGGUAAGCCCUAUUGUAUCAUAUUAAAGCAAAGGUCUAGAACUAAACACUAUUAGAUCUAACGGUUAGGAUAUUUUUGGUAUUUUUCAAAUUGUUUUUAAUAAAAACAAUAUCUUACUCGCCUGAAGAAAAACUGAAAAAAACUCAAAUAGUAAUAAUUCUCUUCUCUCUCUAUCUUUUUUUUUCCUCUUCUUCUUCUCCUUUGUUCGUGUUUUCACUGGCUAUAUAUAGCCAAUCAGUAGGGGACAUCAAAAUCUCAACAUUAUCUACUUGCAAGAAAAAAAAAUCGUCGGUACAACUGCCCGCCUGCUAUGACAAUAAAAAUGUUUGCAUUAUUGAUUUUGUUUUAUUAUAUAUAAUAAUAAAUAUUUAUAUGGAUAAAACUAAAAAUUUAAAUCAGUAUUAGAAAAGCCUGUUUCAACUGCUAAAAAUCAAUUUUAAUUACCGAAAAUUAUAUUGAAACACUAAAUAAAAACUUCCGAUGGGUAUCAACUCGGUGAACCGGGUUUUGACCAAGAAUAACAGUUUUGACCCGAAAUGGCCUGAAACUCAUUUUUUAUCCCGGUCGACAUGGUUGGAACCGUAUUGACCGGGUGGACUCGGUUUUGACCAAAAAUGACGGUUUUGACCCGAAAUGGUCUGCAACUCAUUUUUUAUCCUGGUCAACAUGGUUUGACCCGUAUUGACCUGGUGGACUCGGUUUUGGUCGAAAAUGAUGGUUUUGACCCGAAACAGCAUGAAACUCAUUUUUUUACCCUGGUCGACAUGGUUUGACCCGUAUUGACCUGGUGGACUUGGUUUUGAUUGAAAGAUGCGGUUGACUCGAGAAAAAUAUAUUUUUGAAUUUUACACUUUUUCUUAUUUUGGUUUUGGAUUUUUAUGAAUAAUAAUAAAAAUAAAAUAACAUUCAGGAAAAUAUUGGUGAAUCCAAAAUUGGGUUACAAUAGUUGCCCCCUCUUUACAAUGCUUACGAUGCAAAGACAUUGGAAAAUUCAUUUUCUUUUGACUUUGCAUAGUAAGUUUUGUAAAGAAAAACGAUGGCGGUGUUGAAAAAUACACAGAUUUUUCAGUUGGUCUAAUUCUUAUGGGCGACCUGCCUAAGUGAAAAACAUGAAAGUGUUUUCAAUAUUGAUAUAUUUUUUUGUGAACUACUCGUUUGUGAAAUACAUGAAAGUGAUUUCAACCUCGGUCUUGUAAAAUACUUGAAAGUGAUUUCAACAUUGGUAUUGCGAAAUACAUGAAAGUGAUUUCAGUAAUAGUGUUGUGAAAUACAUGAAAGUGAUUUCAGCAAUGGUUUUGUGAACUGACCCGUUUGUGAAAUACAUAAAAAUGAUUCAGCAUUGGUUUGUGAAAUACAUGAAAGUGAUUUCAACAAUGGAUUUUGUAAAAUACAUGAAAGUGAUUUCAGAUAUAUGUUGUGAAAUACAUGAAAGUGAUUUCAGCAAUGGUCUUAUUUUCCAGGUGAUCAACCUGCUUGUGAAAUACAUGAAUGUGAUUUCAGCAUUAGUCUUGUGAAAUACAUGAAAAUGAUUUUAGCAAUGGUUUUAUGAAUAGAUGAAAGUGAUUUCAGAUUAGCCUUGUGAAAUACAUGAAAGUGAUUUCAGCAAUGGUGUUGUGAAAUACAUGAAAGUGAUUUCAACAAUGGUUUUGUGAAUUGACCCGUCUGUGAAAUACAUGAAAGUGAUUUCAACAUUGGUUUUUGUGAAAUACAUGAAAGUGAUUUCAACAAUGGAUUUUGUGAAAUACAUGAAAGUGAUUUCAGAUAUAUGUUGUGAAAUACAUGAAAAUGAUUUUAGCAAUGGUUUUAUGAAAUACAUGAAAGUGAUUUCAGAUUAGCCUUGUGAAAUAUAUGAAAGUGAUUUCAAUAAUGGUUUUGUGAAAUACAUGAAAGUGAUUUCAGCAAUGGUUUUGUGAACCGACCCGUCUGUGAAAUACAUGAAAGUGAUUUCAACAUUGGUUUUUUUGUGAAACACAUGAAAGUAAUUUCAACAUUGGUCCUAUUUUCCAGGUGACCACCCCGAUGAUAAAAUGCGAGGAAACUCGCAAGUGGUCUAAUUGUUCCAGGCGACCAACCCGAUGAUAAAAUUCGAGGAAACUCACAAGUGGUCUAAUUGUUCCAGGCGACCAACCCGAUGAUAAAAUUCGAGGAAACUCACAAGUGGUCUAAUUGUUCCAGGCGACCUGCCCGAUAUUGAAAAAGAAUGCGAAGAAUUUCACGAGUGGUCUAAUUGUUUUAGGCAACCUGUUUGAUAUUGACGAUGAAUACAAAGAAUUUGGCGAGUGGUCUGAUUGCUCCAGGCGACCUGCCCGAUAGUGAAGAAGAAAGUAAAGAAUUUUGCGAGUGGUCUAAUUAUUCCAGGCGACCUGCCCGAUAGUGAAGAAGAAAGCAAAGAAUUUUGUGUGUGGUCUAAUUGUUCCAGGCGACCUGCCCAAUAGUGAAAUACUUGAAAGUGAUUUCAAUAUAGGUUUUUUGAAAUACAUGAAAGUGAUUUCAAUAUAGGUUUUUUGAAAUACAUGAAAGUGAUUUCAGCAAUGGUUUUGUGAACCGACCCGUUUGUGAAAUUCAUGAAAGUGAUUUCAGCAUGAACUUCAGGGUUGAUGAAAACUUCUAAAGGAAGUCAUACUUUUACGGUUGAGAUCUAAUUUGUAAAUCGAUCUCAGAGAUGAUGAAAGCUUCUCAAGAAAGUCUUAUAUCUACGGUUGAGAUCUGAUUUGUAAAUCGAUCCAAGAGAUGAUGAAAGCUUCUCAAGGAAGUCCUGUAUGUACGGUUGAGAUUUAAUUUGCAAAUGGAUCCCAAAGAUGAGGAAAUCUUCCCAAGGAAGUCUUGUAUGUAUGGUUGGGAUUUGAUUUGUAAAUGGAUCCCAAAGAUGAGGAAAGCUUCUCGAGGAAGUCUUGUAUGUACGGUUGGGAUUUUGAUUUGUAAAUGGAUUGCAAAAGAUGAGAAAAGCUUCUCAAGGAAGUCCUGUAUGUACGGUUGGGAUUUUGAUUUGUAAAUGGAUCGCAAAAGAUGAGAAAAACUUCUCAAGGAAGUCCUGUAUGUACGGUUGGGAUUUUGAUUUGUAAAUGGAUCCCAAAAGAUGAGGAAAGCUUCUCAAGGAAGUCUUUUAUAUACGGUUGGGAUUCGAGCUUCUAGUAAAUGAUGGUUGGAGUAAAUCCUCAAUAAAUCAUAUAGCAUUUGGCAAAAGACAUCAUCAACUUCUUUCAUUUCCAAUACUUUCAAAGUUCUCAACUUUUGAAGCUUUAACCAUGUCUUCUUCUUCUUCUUCUAAUGCUAACCCAAACCCUGUUCCUGCAGUAGAGGCUAUAGUUUGGUGCGCUACCUUUGAAGUGAAUGGUCGUCCAGUUACAAUAGAAGAUACUGUAAUGGACAAUGAAGAUACUGCUAUAGCUGUGGCUAGAGAUAUGAUCCUUCCCCGUGAUGAAACAAUGCUGGCAGCCAGGACCGAUAUUGAAGCAGUGAAUCAGUCACUUGCUCUCAGUAUCAGAGCUACUUCAUCUUUGGUGAACAUUGCAGAGCGUCUUCAUGCCAGAGGACUUGAGUAGAAUACUCAAUUUCCUGAUCUCCAUCAUCAGAUCGAGAAUUUACGGAAUAGACUCCGUGAUGGGAGACGUCACAGAAACAACUUGGAGAGGAGAAACCAAGAGCUAAAUGCACGUGUUGACUUUUGGAGGGACUAUGUUAACACACGACACCACGGGUUCGAGGAAGAGAUAGAGCGCAUGCAUAAGCAAUUUGAGGAAUUUCGAGGCAUGAUUAAUCAUCAAGAAGAAAAUAUCCCCAAUCAUCCUCGCAUUGUUUAACAUUUGUACUUGCAAACUUUUUUUCUGAAUAAAAAUCCAUCUUUCUUGUCUUCAUUUAUGAAUUUUGCUUUUAUAGAAUUGCUAUAUUUGAUGUGAUUUAGAAGAAUCUUCAUUUCAUUUGAGUCUCAUUGGAUCCCGUUGGGAAUUUUGUUUCGUGAAAUAUCUGCAAAACAAAUAUGCAAUACUCGUGAAUUGUUCUCUGAUUGAUUGUGUGCACCGUGCCAACACCCAUCAAGAUUGUCAAUCGGUCAUGAACUUGCCUCUAGUUGAAACAUACCCUUCAAGUAUAUGCGGUUAUCCACCUUCAUGGAAUUGUCAUGUCUUUCAGACCUGCAUCUCAUACUUUGCAGUAAAACGCUCAUCGUUGUAUCCUCAGUUUCUUUCUCAAUAAGUUCUUCUCAGCUCAUCUAAUCAAAUUGUGAAAAGAAAUUCCUCGGCCUCAUCAAUGAUAUUGCUCUUAUCACCCAUACUCAUGUGGUGAAGUGCGCAUUUGAGCUUUAAAACAGAUGGUCCCAUGGUUAGUCUAGGUGGGUGUGGUGCAUCCUUCCAACAUUCAUUCAAAAGCAAUCAUGUGAUAACAUCUUUCAAUAGUCAUAGCCAUAUUGGAGAUGAUAAACCAAGAUGAAGAUAUGAAGACGUCAUUCAUGUACACCUUUACUCUCAAUUGUUGUCGGGGUUUACUGGAUCAUAAAUUGUUCUUGAACAUCAUUGCCCUUAAUUGAUCUGAAUGUGCUCAUUCACUGAUUAUCUUUCUUUGAACGAUAUUGUCUUCAAUUCAUUGAUUCAUCAUUUGAUCAUCUCUACCCCCCAGUUGAUUUAAAUACUAUUUGUUUUCCUUCUCGGAGGUCCAUUGUAUUGCCCCCAGAAGUGUCAAGAAGAAUUGAUGUCAUUUCUGUCAGGAAUUUACAAACUCUGUCGAUGUUCUUCUUAUUUGAAAAUCUUUUUUAUUUUGGAAUCAAAUCUCACAUUUCAAAGGUCAUGUCUAUUCAAGUCUGAUUGUUGAAAUAAAAUCAGAGAGAUGUCAGUUUUUGAAAGUAUUUUUGGAAAUCAAGCUUUGUCGGUCAAAGAUCCAACACACGCUAUUCAAUGUAGUCCUUUGAUUGUCUUGUAUUUUGAGAGAGAGAGAAAAAAAUUGACUCAUUGUAAGAUUAAAAUGGCUUUUCCCAUGGUUCUUUGUAUCCAUUUUAAACUAAAAUUUUGGGUAUAUCUUUUGAUUGUUUGUGAUGAGGUGACCUUUUAUGAAUUUCAAGAAAAACAAGGUACCCAAGUCAAAACUUAAGGCUUUAUCAAGAAAGACUGUUUCUUUUUCUUAGCACCAAUUUUAUCAGCAUGCAUAAUAAUUAGUAACUUGAUUCAUGAAGUCAUGACCCUUAAGAAGCUUCUUGUGAUGAUUUUGAGGGUGUAAAUUCCAUUGAUGGAAGGAAUUCUAUGUCUUGAAGAGGAGCUUUGUGGACACUGUUGAAAACUUUCUUUGUAUUUUCUUCAAGGUUUCUCAAAGUCACCGUCUUCUUUGCCAGUGCCUUGCUUAACUUGAAUUUUUGUAUCCAAUUUGGACACCAAGUAAAGAAUUUGCCAUGUUUUUCUAUUUCAUUUUCCAAACAAUUCACAGCUUCAAUUUCGUUGUUCGCAUCUUCCAGCCAUUUGCUGACAUCUUUCUCAAUUUCUUCAGCAUUCCUUUCAGCAGCUUUGACAUCAUUUUGUAUAAGAUCUAGUGCGAAAGCCAGGAUCUGCUUUUGUUUAUUGAAUUCGACAAAAAAAUAUUUGAAACAGAACAUGUAACGAAACUUCCUUAUUGCUGGUUCCAGCAAGAGUUCUGCUAUCUUAGAUAUAAUGGAUUCACCAACACUUUCGAUAGCCAUUUUCUGCCGGUCUGAAAAUCAGAGACCUAAGGAUAACGACUGUGAGAGUGAGUCAUUACAAGUAAAAUUGGCAUUGAGAGAAUGAGAAUAAAAAUUUUAUUACCUUAAUUUGUGAAAAUAUGUGCGAAAAUCAUUGGUAUUGAUUGCUCAAUAAUAAAAUAUAGCGAGGAACAAAAGGAGAAGUCCUUUAGCUCUAUAUGAACCCAUCUUCCAAAGCAAGAAGGGAAGGUAUAAAUAUAGCAAUAAAAAGAUAGAAAUAUACCUUAUUUAUUUUUUAAAAAAUUACCCUAGUAUUUUAUAGUUUAAUUGAAGUUAUAUUUGCUUACCGAGUUUUGAAACUUAUGAGGAAUAUAUUUCAUAUUCUGGAGAAUAUACGGAUGAGUCAAAGUCGCUGAAUCAAAAUUCAUGCUUUAGAGAGUUUUGAAUGCUUUACAGGACCAGUGAAAUAUUGAAGUGAGGAGGGUUCAUAUCGAUUCCAUAAAGUUAAAAAACAGAUCAACUUUUCUUACCCUACUCAUAAACAACGUUGACAAAUUUACGGCAGAUCCCAUAGAAAUAACAUUCUGACACCCCAACAAGUCAGAUCCCAUUCUUACACACCAGUUGCUGAGUUGCUGGAGCCAAAUUCGGGUAACAAAUUAUCAUAACCAACUGAUCCAUUUCGGCUCGGAGGCUUCAGUUUUGUACCAGUCAUCAACUGGUGCUCUUUGCUUUGCAGCCUUUGAGGAAGAAGUAAAAGCCUCCAAAAAUAUCAUCAUUAUUAUUAACAGAUGAACUAGACCCGUUUAACCCACCAAAAUAUAUCAUCAUUAAAAGAUGAUUUCGCACUCGUAUUUUUAGUACUGGAAAACACAAAAUCAUAACCGAAAUCAAACCCAGUGCUAUUUUGUUUUUAAUUCUUUUGAAAAACAUCAAAAAUGUCAAAAUCAUCAUCAAAAUUCUAUAAUUUUGAAUUGCUAAAGAGAGUUUCGUGAUAAUCCAUGAAAGACCUAUCAAAAGAAUUGGAAAUGAAGGUUAAUUUAGAAGAAUAUGAGGAGGGUUUCUGGUUUGAUGGAGGGAAAUUCAAAUAACAAAACUGGCUAUAUGUUUCUUUGAGGAUGAAACAUGCAAGAGAUUCCACCACCAGGACAGACAACAACACUGAAACACAAAUCCACAUGAGAAAUCAAUUUUAAUAGUAAUUUUAUUUUUAAAUUUGAAAAAAAUUACAAGUUCUUCACUGUUUGUUAUUGAAAAGGAAGAGAGAGGGGGGAAAAUGUUAUGUUUUUAGAUGUUUUUGAAUUAUAGGAUGCUAGGGAAAUAUAUAUAUAUUUCCCUAGCAUCCUAUAAUUCAAAAACAUCUAAAAACAUAACAUUUUUCCUAUAUAUAUAUAUUUAUAAAAGAAGAAGAAGAUAGUGUUAAAAAAUCAAAGGGAGCUUUUACAAGAAUACUAUUAUCUUUUUUCUUUUCUCAAAAUCAAUAAAAAAAAUUUCAUUGAAUGAAAAAUAGUAUAUCAUCAAUCUAAUGACUACAUUUAUCUUUACAAUCUUCCAAAGAAACAACUUUAUGUUAAAAAGAGGAGAAAUAUGAUAACAAAAUAAUUUUUAUUGAUUCAAACUAGUGUAAGAGACACUUGUGAGUAAAAGUGUCAAUUCCCAUAAAAAAAAAUGCAAUUUGAUGACAUAAUUAAGGUGGUAAGACUAAUACAGACACUAACAAACAAAUAAAAAUAAUAAUUUGUACAAAUACUCACCUAGCAAAGAGAUGAACGGAUAAAAGGUUCACCACGGUCAAUAUUUUUUUAUUUUUCUUGGUUUAUUUUUUUUUGUUUUGAAAAUGAUGAAUAAUGGGAAAAGAAGAAGAAGAAGAAAAACUUGCAAAGAAGCACUAUUAAUGGAACUAGGUUAUGAUGACAAUCCCUGUAUCACACUCUCAAAUGAUAUAAUUUAUCCAUUAUAUUUUGCAUUAUAUAUAUAAACUAAAAGAGCUAGGCUUUUGAUGGCAUCCAAGUGUAGUUGCUUUUUCAUCCCACUUUUUUGGUUUUAUUUUAUUUCAAUCAUUUAAUUUUGUUUUUGCUAUUUUAUCAUGCUUAGAGUUGUCUUUUUCAAUUUGAUUUGGUGCCAGCUUGGGAAUCACCAUUUUAAUUGUGGUUGUGAUUUCUAAUUGUUUGAUAGUAUUUCAAAAGCUGAUAUUAUAGCCUCUUCUAUAUGUUAUUUUCAGAAGUUACAAUUUAUAGCUUUUCAAAAGCCAUAAUUGCCUGUUUGUUUCUGCGUUUAAAAAACAUUUUAAAAAAAAAUUAAAUUUUUUUAAUUUUUUAUUAACUUUAAAUUAAUAUGUUUUUAGUAUUUUCAAAUCAUUUUGAUGUGCUGAUAUCAAAAAUAAUUUUAAAAAAAUAAAAAAACAUCAUUGGCAUGCAUUUUGACACGAAAAGUUAUUUGAAAAACAACCGUAACCACAUUGUCAAAUUUCCAAAUAAAUUCUUGAUAGAGGGUUGUUUUGAUCUUGAGUGUUGUGCUUGCAAAGGAAUUACAAUUACUUUACACAUUAUAAUUAUAAAUUACUGUUUAAAACAAUUAAGAGAAAGGACCAAUAAUAUAGAGUGAGCAAAUGAAAGCAUAAAUUUAGAUUUUAUUGUGACAUAGAGAUUAGGUAAUUCAUGAAAGUUGGUAAUAAUAUACUGUGAGCAAAGGAACCUGCUCGAAAAAACCAUUCAACAUGAGAUUGCUCUGCUAGGAAAACAUGAUAUCAGCAUCAAACUUUUGAACAAAUAGUGGAGCAUCAAGUCUCAGUCAUCUUGAAGUAUGUCGACAACAAGUCACAUAAGCAUAUGCAAUAGAAACAGAGCAUCAAACUGACAGAGAAAACAUACUGAUACCCUUAUUCACACAGAAAACAUACUGAUAGAUAAGUCGAAAUCUUCUAUGGUAAAUAAGACUGUUACAAUGUGAAGCCAAUUUGUAUCCCGUUGCCAAUGGAACAGUAGGAAUUACUUCCCACCAAUCAAAAACAUAUCUGCAGCACCACAGCUCAAAGACAUGAAUCUCCGUGAAAUCGCCUAUUGAGGAGUUGAUCGUGUAACAACCAACCAACCUUGCCUCAAGCAAACACGAAGAACAAAGACCAUCCAUGCAUAUUUAAUUCACCCAUUAAAAGUUGAAGGAUAAGGAGAGAAGAUAAAUAAUCAUAGCCAUGUUACCUAGUCAGGGCAAGGAUGAAUUAUUAGCAUGUUUCUCAAAUCCCAAUCCCAAACUAAUCAUUUCUCUUCAUUUUGUUGUGCUCAGCGAAGGAACUACCAAAUCUUACUGAAAGUAUUUAAGUGAAGACAACAAAUAGAUGUGUACUGUUUUAUUUGAACUGAAAAGAAUUGAUUGCUUACAGAUCAUUGCAAUCCUUACAAAUAUAUAGUAAACCAAACAAACUGAAUUGCUAACUUAAAGCACCAAAUCAUGCAAAAUGCUACCAUCAUUACCUUCAAAUCUAUAGUUAAUUCCAUUUUUCUAUAAAAGACAAAAUCAUCGGUAUCCAAUAGUUGCCGACUUCACCACGGGUUCAACAUUUUUUUGGCAAGUUGGGAUUCGAUACUAAUGAGCAUAUUUCUUAAGUUGAAAUAGUGCUACCCAAUCUAGGUUACAGUGGGUUGAUGAAUUAAAGAGCAGUUGUUAUUUGACACUGCAAUUAGAUGGCUCAUAUUUGAUUUACGGAGCUAUGAUAUGGGAAUCGUGCUUGUAUCACAUAUAAAAAUAUUUACAUAGUAACAAGCAUUAUUAAAGAUGGUACACUAGUAAGUUUCCAAAUGCUAUCAACAAAUAUUAUAACCUCUUAAUUUAUACAAGGAUUGAGCUAAAUUGCAUACAAGCAAUCCCUAACUUUGGUAGUUUCUUUGUGUUAAAAAUGGAGACUUCUUGGUGUUUGCCGGAACUCCAACUUGGGUAUACCUUUUGUGAACAAGAAAAAAGGUAAAAACAUCUUUCAACGAUAUCAAAUCAUUUAUUCAUAUAAAGUAUUAGUGUUGUCAUUUAAUUUCACUACAUUGUAGAAAAUUCUGAUUUGAUACCAAUUCAUGCUUGGCACGACUGUUACAUGACACCUGGGAUGCUCAGCAACACUACAUCCACAAUCAUGACGACGAACACUGAUGCAGCCACGAAAACAUCAAAACACUAUUUGCUUUGGUAGUAGUAUUGACUGCAAACUUGGUUGACCAACAGAAUCCCUGCCUUCAGCCAACCCCAAAUUUGACUAUCAUCGUAUAAUAUUGAUCGUCACAUUAUAUUUUCCAACUUUUAAUAGGAUUUUAAGGACAAGUUACAGUUGAAAGCUAAUAUAACAACAUUCUUAAAUUCACAUCCUACCGACCAUUAUGGCUAUUAGCUUCCAACCAUUCUCCAUGUUUCACUUUUCUUCAAGUAUUUUCACCAAAAUAAAGCUUCAACCUUUCAAGUUUUGCUUAUAAAGUCAAGAUCCAUGGGAUUAUUUAAGAUUUUAUGGGAAGCAUUUCAAAUAUUUUACGUUUUUUUUUUUUUAAAUAUUGUUAUAGACAUAGAAUCAACAAGAUUGUGUGACAUUCUAUAUUGAUUUUGUGAUAUUUUAAUCACUAAAAGUAUGGGUUUCAGAAAGAUAAAAACCAAACAAAAAAUUGAAAAAAAUAAAAAUUUUCAAACCAACAGAAUCCAACAUAUUGAUCAGUUUUGGUCUGAUUUGAUUCGGAUAUUUUUUAGCUGAAACAAUUAAUAACCAUUUUCAAAAGGUAAGUAUUGACAAGCCUUUCACGAAACCAUGUUCAUUUAUGCUGAAUCAAUCCAAAUCAGGUUUAGGUUGCUAACUCAAACUAACACAAUCCAAAAUUGAAUGCACACAGACUCUGGGUUGUUUCAGUUUAAUGAUUUUUACAGUUUAAUGAUUUUUAGAAAUGUCUAACUGAAACCGAACCGAAAUAUAUGAAUAUUUCUAACUGAGACGCCCCCAAAUACUGAAAAAAUGAUUGGUUUUGUUUUGUUUAGUUUGGUUAUAGCAGAUACCCCUAACAAUCUGCUUUUUCACUCGACAUCAAACAACAAGCACUAAUAUUAUGUCUGUAAGUAAAUUACUAUAAAGUAUAAAAAUAUAUGUGGAUAAUUGAAAAUUUGCUUAGAGUUGCUAAUAAUUCACAACUGCAACAACCAACACGACCAGGUAAUGCUUGGGAAUGGGAUCAUGUAAUGCCCGGGAAUGAGCCUUGGUGCACAAUCAUGAUUGUAACCAUGAUUUAAAAUCAUUUCCACACUAGACUAUCCAAGACAAUUGGUAUUGGAUUGUUAGCAACAAUUCAGUUUAUAAUAAUAAUAAUAAUGUUGAUUCUUUUAUCUCCUACUUAAUGCAAGUGUCCAUCGUGUGCUGAAAUUGAUUGUUUACCUCAAAUUUCUUUUAAAGGUAGAGAUUUCUUGGUUGACAAUGGGAAAAAGUAAUCGCAUGGUUAUUUUCCAUAAGAUUCAUUUGAGUAAAUAUUCUCUAUUGGAGGUCAAUUUCAUCGAAGCAAUUACUUCAAUGAACACGUCCUAACUAGCAACCUCUAAGUAGUCAUCUCCCUCAUCCUAACUUUUUAUUUCCUAAUAAAAUCUCACGGAUUUCCAUCAUGUUCAAAGGAAAAGUUGACGUUGCAAAUGGUGCUCUAAGGAACCAAGUCAUCCUAGAACUAAUCAUCCACCUAAUCUCAUCAACUCCUUGUUGCACAAACAGCUUGUCUCACUUAAAGGGGAUUUUAAUGAUGAACAAACACCAACUCCUUGUUGAUCAAAUACAUAUGCUCAUUUAAACACGAUUUUGCAUUACCUAGAACUGACAAGGCCUAAAAUUCCUGACAUAGAAUUUUGUUUUAAAGGAACUUCAGGAUUUCUAUAUAGGAUGCUUGACCUCAUUAAAGAUAAACUGAGGACAUCCAUAACAUAAAUUAUCUUCCUUGCCCCAAAGUCAGCACAGAAAAACCCUGUUCACUAUAAAGGUUCUGAAUGUUUUUCCUAAAUUUCAUGAUAUGGCAUUAACACAUCAAACACCCAAUUUAGCAUUCUUAUGCAAACUACAACUGCAGAAGGCUUGCACAUGUAGGGGAGGUAGGAAGAGCUGCAAAGUUGUCGCAUCUAUUGUUAUGCUGUUCAGAGUUUCAAUCUCACCAUCCAAUCUGCCAAAAAUAUAAAAGAUCAUGUGCAUGAAUUUGAUCUCAAAGGGGUAACACCUCAUAUGCCCACGGGAGAUACAUGACCAGUGAUGGUUGUUCUAUCCACAAAAUUAGCUAACAUAUGACUUUUUUAUUCAACUACCAUUUCAUGAUAUGAGUUCUCCUAGCCACACUCAAAAGCCCUAGCCGCCAUAUGAACAAAGCACCUAAAAAAUUAACCACCUACCUAAUCUAAUUCAGGAAAAUUUGGUCAAAAUCUCCUACAAUGAAACGAGUUAUUUGAAUGCAUAGUCAGGAAAUUCAGGUAAACACACACACACCUGAUCAUAAAUUUCCUAAAGAAAUUCUGAAUUGUAACAUUGGUAAACAAAGAGUGACAAUAUCAUCACAUUAAAAAUGCAUUUCACUCAAAACAAAUAAUAGCUCAAGAAAAACAAUUGCAAGAAGCCAAUAAAGAAUAAAGUAAGCAGGCCAUAAAAAAGAGACAGAGAGACAUUGUUCCAAUAGAGAAAAGUAAUUAAAACCCAACAACUAAAACUGAGAAAGAAUCAAACCAGGGAGUAACUAAUCCUUUUAAAGCAUUCCAAGAAUGGCAACCAAAUGUAACAUAAUCAACCUGCAAAAACAAACACAAAAAGAAUUAGAAGAAGAAAUCCCAUUAGUUAAUAAGUUAAAACAGCAGCAGCAGCAAAAAGACUAAAAUUUUAGUUAUUUGGACUUGAGAAAAAGCACUGAACCCUCUGUGAAAAUGCCAUGAAAGGGGUGCUAAGAAACCAGGAAAAUAAAAACUUGUAAAAGGGUGUUUUUACAAAGCAAGAAAGAAGCUAGGAAGCAAGGAAGCAUGCCAGCCUACCCUCACGAACUCUGUUUGUUAGGCCAUGUUUGUUUCCCGGAAUUCACUUUCCGGGAAACUAUUUUCCAAACUUUCCUGUUGUCGCACCCGACAUCGCGGCGGCCCUAAAAGUAGUUCUCGAUAUAUGGAAAAAGAACAGAUUUCUGGCAUCUGGUUCUUUUAAGGGAAAAGGUCUUGUUUGAGGAGUCGCCACCUAGUAUUAUGGUCACUAGGAACCCUAACUGGUCAACAGAGAUUCUAUGGCUCGGGAUUGGUUACGUAAAAGGGAAGAUAUUAUCACCCCUUAAACGUUCUGCCUAAGGCAGACUGCAUUGCUGGUUUUGUCUUAAAUUGCUAAACAUUUAUUCGCUGAUGCUAUGAUGAUUUGUUUAUAAUAUUCCUGACUCUGGCGCCAGUGAAUAUUCGAGCUCGAAUAAUUCCAACUCUGGCGUUGGUAAAAAUUCGUAGCUACGAAAAAAAAUUAGAUCAAUAUUUUUUAUUUCUUACUCUAGCGCCUAGUGAAUAAAUAAAUAAAAAUAAAUUUAUUUUUACGCAUGCACAUAUUUUUUUAUUUUUCUAGCUAAAUAAAAUAAAAUACAACGAAUAAAAAUAAUAUAAAUUUAAACCAGUAUUUUUAUUCCUGACUCUAGCGUCAGUGAAUAAACCAAUAAAUUUACAUUAUUUUUAUUCAUGCAUACACAUUUUUUAUUUUUUCUACUUUUUUUUUAUUUUUCUGUUUUUUCUAAUUUUUUAUUUUUUUUGGGCUGGGCCCAUCUCAGCCCACAUAGGCUGGGCUAGACCCAGCCAGCCCAGCCCGGUCACUGGCCUAAGCCAGUGACCCGGCUGGGCCACAUGAGGCACGCGUGAUCCAAAUCACGCAUGCCAGGCCUUUAGUUUUAAAUCAAGACAGGCGGCGAAGAUGAAUUAAUGAAACGCGGGGAAAAAAAAACAGAGCAGAAGACUUACCUGGUUCGUUUGCAGGGAGUUUACGCGAGAUUGCUGAGGGCGACGUUUCUGCUUCGAAUUUCCUCUUAAUUCCUUCUGCUUGUGUUCCCUGUUGUAUUCCUUUCAUGUGUCUCUAUUUCAGCUUGUUUUUCUUCGUCUUUAUGCUCUGUUUUCAGAACACCAUCUCUCUCUCUCUCGGCUGGUUUUCUCUCUCGUUUUUCUUAAGUCAGAACUGGUGAGGGAAGCCUAUUUCUAGUAUGGGAGUUCUGGAGAUGAACCUAAAAAUUAUGUGCUUUGCUUGUGUUUCUCUUCUUUUCGGUUUCUUUCGUCUCUCUCUCCCUCUCUAACCGACCUUUCUCUUCGGUGCUGCUCAGUUUAUAUAGGGCUCGGCGGGUUGAUAACAGGCGGUAGGCUAACGGUCGGCCACCAUUAAGGCGCCCAUAACUGAAGCCAACGGACGACGAUUACUGCUGCAACGUUCCUCCCUCCAUUACUGCAGAAACGGUCACUGGCUUAAAGGAGAAGAAGAUGAACAGCAUCCUCAAAACGACGCCGUUUGGAGAUAAACAGUGGCCAUUUUCACUUUGACCCAUGAAGUUUCGAAAAUUUUAUAAUUAAACCCCUGUUUUAAACAGUAAUUUUCCCUGCAUUUCGGCGCCUUUUACAAGUUAGUCCUUGGACUUUAAUCUGCUGCAAUCGUAUCCCCAAUUAACCCCAAACUUUGCUAUUUCUUCAAUUAAGUCCCUGAUUUCAUUAAUUUAAUUAAAUCCAAAGUCCAAUUAAGUCUAAAACUUAUCAAUUCUCCAAUUAAGCCCCUGAUUGGAUUGAUUAAAUUAAUUCCAAGCUUAAUUAAGUCUCAAAACUUAUCAAUUCUCCAAUUAAACCCUUGAUUGGAUGAAUUAAAUUAAUUUCAAGCUUAAUUAAGUCUAAAAAUUUAUCAAUUCUCCAAUUAAACCCUUGAUUAAAUUAAUUCCAAGCUCAAUUAAGUCUCAAAACUUAUCAAUUCUCCAAUUAAACCCUUAAUUGGAUUAAUUAAAUUAAUUCCAAGCUUAAUUAGAUUAAUUUCAAAGUUUAAUUAAACCCCAAAACUUCUAAUCAUGUUGCCCUUAACCCAAAUUUUAAUUCAUUCUUCAUUUAUCUCAUUUUACUUGUUUUUUUAUCAUUAUUAUUUUUUUAUCAUCAUCAUCAUUUUUUUUAUCCUUUUCAGUAAAUAAAAUAAUAAUAAUAAUUAAAAUAAAAUGGUCAAAAAUUGGGUAAUGACAGUUGCCCCCUCUUUAUAAUAUUUACUAUGCAAAGAUAUUGGAAAAUUUUAUUUUCUUUUAGCUUUGUGUAGUAAAUUUAUAAAGAAAAGUAGAUACAGAAAGAACAUUUUUUUUUUUUUAGUCUUGAAAACUUUGAAAACAGUAGAUUGACACACGACCUUUACAGAGAGAUGUAGAAAUCAAGAAACAAGUCAUUUGGAAGACGACCCACUUUUUUUUUUGUUUUUUUGUUUUGUUUUGUUUUGUUUUGUUUUUUUUUUUAGAAGUGGUCUCAUUGUGAUGGGUGACCUACCCAAGUAAAAAAAGAAAUGAAAAUGAGGGCUCGAAGGCGCGCUCGAAAGAAUGUGAGGGCUCAAAGGCGCUCGAAGAAGAAAGGGAGGGCUCAAAGGCGCUCGAGGAAGAAAGCGAGGGCUCAAAGGCGCUCAAGGAAGAAAGCGAGGGCUCAAAGGCGCGCUCAAAGGGAAGCGAGGGCUCAAAGGCGCGCUCGAAGGGAGAAAGCGAGGGCUCAAAGGCACGCUCGAAGGGAAGCGAGGGCUCAAAGGCGCGCUCGAAGAGAAAAGGAAGUGCUCAAAGGCACUCGAAGAGGAAAGAAAGUGCUCAAAGGCACUCGAAGAGAAAAGCGAGGGCUCAAAGGCGCGCUCGAAAAGAAAAGCAAGUGCUCAAAGGCACUGGAAGAGGAAAGCGAGGGCUCAAAGGCGCGCUCGAAGCGAAAAGCAAGUGCUCAAAGGCACUCGAAGAGGAAAGCAAGUGCUCAAAGGCACUCGAAGAGGAAAGCGAGGGCUCAAAGGCGCGCUCGAAGAGAAGCGAGGGCUCAAAGGCAUGCUCGAAGAGAAAAGCAAGUGCUCAAAGGCACUCGAAGAGAAGCGAGGGCUCAAAGGCGCUCUUGAAGAGAAAAGCGAGUGCUCAAAGGCACUCCAAGAGGAAAGCGAGGGCUUAAAGGCGCUCGAAGAGGAAACCGAGGGCUUGAAAGCGCCCUAAAAAUGAUGAUCAAAGGCUCGAGGGUGCAUUUGAAGGGAGGUAAGGCUCGAAGGUGUUCUCGAAAAGGGAGGUAGGGUUAAGAAACGCAAUACCUUGGAUGGUCAAGGGCUCAAAAGCGCACUUGAAAGGAGACAAGGACUUGAAAGUGCCCUAAAAAUGAUGAUCAAAGGCUCGAAGGCGCAUUUAAGGAGGUGGAAAAACAUAGAGAUUUUUCAGAGGGCCUAAUUCUUGUGGGCGGCCUGCCCAGGUUGAAAAAUUUUCAAAAGUGAAAAUUUUUCAAAAGCAAUUUCAAUCCUGGCCAUUUCAAGUUGGCCUUCCACUUGAUGGAUUCCGUUGGAAUUUUCUCUAAUGAGAUUUGCAAAACUUAUUGUCCAAUUUCUCAAAGUUUAGAUGAUAUGCAUGCAUCUUUACCUGAUUUGAAAUAUAGGCCCCCCAUUUCUUCUUUGUCUUCUUGUUGCUUGACUGAUGAGGACUUGCUACCUCUGAUUUGCGUCAUAUUUGUCACUUGGCUUCUAGCCCACUCGAGUUGGCCCAUGGAAGUCUAUUUCCAAAUUUGUUUGCACAACUUAGCCUUUAUGGUGCCCAUCGUGACCCACUUGCUUGCUAGAGAUUUUCUAUCUUGUCAAAUAAUUUGAGAGGAUCAUUCAUUACUCCUCGUCUCGCUACUAAAAAUAUUCGGUGUCACUUGCUGAAAGGAUCAAACUGUCUUUCAUAAACCAAAAUGCCCCCUUGUCUUGUUGUAGGAAAUAUUCCUCUCUUUUUCUAGAAGAGAAAAUACAAUGUUGCCCCUUGUACUGCUCAUUGCCUCCAAGUGUGCUUUGCCAGCGACUGGGACAAAUAAUGGUUUUAAAAGACCAUUCUCUCAUUUCUCUUUUUGUUCAUUUUGGUGAAGGAAUAUGGGUCCAUAAUAAAUCUUGAAAUCUUGAUCUUGCAUUUUGAAAACAAAAAUUGUUUCGAUGUGAGUCUAAAAUAAUUUGCUUUUGAAAUCUUGCAACUCCUUGGUUGUUUUCUUUUUUGGAAAAGAGAUUAUUUGAUCUUGUGUUUGGCAAAGAGGUCUUUUGGUGAAAAUAUGUCAUGAGAUGACCUUUUUGUUUUCAAAGUGAAGGGCUCGAGAAAAAGCUCGAGGUUUUGUUUGAGAAAAACAACUUAUCUCUUUUUAAACAUUCAUUUUUAUCAGCAUGAAUAAUAAUGAGUAGUUUAUUCUUGAUGUCAUGAAUCUUAUGAAAAAGUAUUCUUUGCAUUUUGAGAGCAUUGUUUAUUGUUCUAGGUUGCUUGCUUUCUUGAUUAGAAAGGACUUUUACCGGCACGUAACGUAAGUUGUGGUUUUUUGCUAUGAAAGAAAAUGAUUCGUAAUGCUCAAAGAGUGUUUCAAGGUUUCAAAGACUGAGGAUCACUAUCAACAGUUUGACUCUUGACGUCAUUCACAUUUUCUUUUGCCGCUCUUCUUUAAUUUGCCCUUUGUCAUUGUUUUGGCUAUCACUUUUUCUUGUGAUUUGGGCAUGCCCCCUAGCAUUUGAGUUUCUUGGGCUCUUUAUGCCUUUUUGGCUUUCUUGCAGCUUUUUCUCUUUUCUCAUUGAAAUUUUCUCUUGCCCCCUAGUGUGGGGUGUGAUUCUAGUCGGGAUUUUUUUCAUGAAAGAAAUAUUAUUCAGGCUAAAAAAAGGAUCGCAAGGGAUGUAUUUAUUUCAGAAUGUGAAAGGAAUAACAAAGAUGACCCUUCAUCAUUUCAAGCGCAAGCAGUUAAGAUCAAUAAACCUUGACCUCAUCCAGUGUGUUGGUUUGGUCAUGAGCAACGAGUUCACUACAUACCAUUAUUCAUACAUUUAAAAACACAUGAUUCAAGAGUCAUGGGGUAAGGGUGUUUAUUUCUUUCUUUUUUUUCUUUUUCACAAUAUUUUUUGGUUUAUAAGUUAAUCACCUCAAUGAUGGAGUUGCUUGAUUCACUUGUCAUUCUACAAUUAGAAUGUGAAAAAUAUCAUUUUUGAAUGAACAUCAAAUUAUUUUUGAAAUCAAAAUACCAGAUCAAUUUUUUUUCAAAACUCCAAUAGGGAAAUGGAUUUUGGUACAAGAGAUGAAUUGCAUCUACGAGAUCACGCAAGGCUUCAAAGGUGUAUUCGUGAGUUCUUAUAACAAAACUCUCUUAAUAAUGAUUGGUCGUAAACAUGAUUGAAUGAGAAACUCAUUAUUUCAUUGAAGCUUUGGAAAAGAAACAACAAAGAACUUAUGCCAACAUGAAUAUUAGCAUGAUAACACAUAAAAGGGGCUAAACAUUUAGUAAUCAUUGAUUGGAAUUUCUGGAAUUUUUCAAUCAUUCAUUCUCCUUGACAAAGGCAUCUUUUCAACACUUAGUUGCAGUCACAUGCAGACCAUUCUCGACCUACUAUCACCAUAACCCUAUUGGAAAAUUUGGGCGGAAAACACUUUCCGGAAGUUAUGAAAAAUUUAGAAAUGUUAUUAUUUGUUGAUAUAUCAAAUUUAAUCCUCAAACUUUUGAUUGCUAUAUAUAAUUUGUUUUGAAUAUUUAUUUUUCAAUUCCAUUUCUUAAAAUUUAAUUUUUAUAUUAAUUUUGCUCCUUAUUUUUAUAAUAUUUAUUUGCUUUUUCCUUAUCAUUUUUUUAUUGAAAUUUUUUAUCUGUCAAAUUUGGUCCUCAUUCUUUUGAUUGUUACUUAUUUUAUUUGAAAUAAUUUAUGAAAUGUUAAUUAUUAUUAUUUUAAUUUCUUCACCUUUCAUUUUUUUAAAAUUUUUAGAUUUGAUUUCUAUUAUUUUGAUUAUUAUUUAUUUUAUUUGAGAUAAUUUAUGAAAUUGUAUUUUUUUUCAAUUUCAUUCUCAUUCAACUUUUUAAUUUGUAAGAUUUGUUCCUCAUUAUUUUAAUAAACUUGAGAAAAUAAAACAUUAAUAAGUUAUUUUCCAGCUCAUUUUCCAUGACAUAACCAAACACUGGAAAAUGUUUUCCAACUUAUUUUCCAUUACACUACCAAACAUCAGAAAAUACUUUCCCGGAAUUCAUUUUCCCCGAAAUUCACUUUCCAAAAAGAAACUACUUUCCAGCAAACAAACGGGGCCUUAAUUUUUUUUUCUCCUUUCAAGUGAAAAAAAAAAAAACAAAGAGCACCAAGAAAAUCUAAUCAGAAAUAUUUUUUUUUUAGUCUGAAAUAUUUUAUGUUGUUGUCUUGGAGAGAUGCAGAUACCGAGGAACAGUUGUGGGGCCACCAUUGGUGAGCAGUGAUACAGUGGCAAGUACGUGAAGUAACGCAUAUUACAGUGCGCAAUGAUAGAGUGAGUCUGGGUGGACAAACUUUUGGUGGUACACGUGGUGCGUAAUGAUUUGACGGCUAUGGAGAGAAGUUACAUGAGGGAAAUAAGAUGAAAAAAGUGGCCUCUCUAGAUUUUGGAAAUGUUCUCUGAAGAAAGAAAGAAAAUAAUCUCAAGGGUGGACAAAAAUGGGGUAAUAUCAGAUUUGGAACAUAAUCUUGGUGAAGAAUAACAUAAUCUAAGGAGAAAUCUAGGGCAAGCCCAGUGAGAUUUGAGCUUAGAUUUUGGACCAAUUUAUAGCUGGAUAAUACCAUCAUGGAUGAUGUCCAGCUGAUAAAUGUUUAGUUACUUGCAAUUCUAUCAUAAAGUUAUCAGAUUCUGUGUGUGUGAGGCUGCCAUAAAUUUCUUUCUUCUAUGAUGGAUAAAAAACGCUAAGCAAUGAACCAUUUUGUCAACCUAGUAAAAAAGGUAUUAUGGUUAUGAUGAGAACUCUACAGCCUGUGAUUCUAUUUUUGAAGGUAUUCUUAUUAUAUUUAUAAUUAUAAGAAUAUUUUAAAAAAACAUGGGUAAAAUAUUAUUCUCACAUCACUAUUUACUGGUCUUAUAGACUUAAAUUCAUAGAUAAUUAAGUAAAUUUGUUGAGGAAAAGCAAAAUUUAACUAUAGAUAAUCAAAGUGAAAAAAAAAACCUCAAAAAAAGAUGGUAGUUUCAAGAUUAAAGCCAAAAAUUCACUUUGAUUCUCAUACUUUUCAGAUAAUGACUUUUUGGUCCCUUAAGUUUUCUCACAUUUUAUUUUUGAUCCACAACUUCAUUUUUCUAUAUUCUCAUUCCCUAAUUUGAUAGAGGAGACAAAAAGUUAUUGGAUUACAAUGUUAGAGAGAGUCUCUGUAACAGCCUCAACAUUUGUAUUCAAAACAAAGAGCAAGGACAUGAUGAUUCAAAUAAGAUUAUGGAAUUUUUUUUUGUAAUCAAUAAAAAAUUCAGCAGAGUUUUUUUUAUAUUUUUAGAUACUAAGUUAUCGACUUUUCAUCUACAAUCCUCAAUUAUCAAAUUUCUUACUCAUCCUAUCAUCCAGAACUUCCUCCUCUCAUUACAUCACAACUUCUCAAUAAUCAAAUUCACAUGUCUAAAUAAUUCAAUAUCCCACAUUUACAUGGAUGCAAUCCAAAGAAUUAUUAUACAAAUUAUAACUGAAGUACAUUACACAAUUCUAAGAUUUACAAAUAAGGACCAUUAACGAAAUUAUAAUAGAAAUAAGUAUAUAAUUAAAGAAGAAAUUCAUAAUUAAGAUUAUACUACACAAAAGAGCUUUCGAUAAACUGUUGACGCAUUAUAUUACAUAACAAAAUGAUAAAUUCAUUCAUUACAAAAAGAUACCCAACAAAAUAUAAGAAAACUAAUCUACUGUUCAACCCGAUAAGGGGAUGUACCUGAAAAUUGAUUUAAUACAAUAAUUCAAUUAGACAGAUGAAAAAAGAUAUCCUGCUUUCUUUCUUUCUUCCUUUUUUUUUAAAAAAAAAAUUAGUCAAAAGAUCAUUAAAUUAACUUGCUCAUGUAGUAUUUAUAUAUAUAUAUAUAUAUAUAUAUAUAUAUAUAUAUAUAUAUAUAUAUAUAUAUCAAUUAAAUUUCAGAAUAAUCUAUGAGUUUGAGUUUGUUUUCUUUUUCUUUUUUCUUUUUUAAUAUCAACAAAAAAUAUAAUUAUUCCUAUCACUCAAUUAACCCGACAUUACUUUCACUAAUAGAUGAUUAAUUUUCCACCAGUCUAUUCAACAAACACUAUUGUCAUCAAUCCAAAAAUUAGUUUAACGUUUCAUCCAUUCAUCAGGUACAAAUCUCAUUAACCAAGAAAAUUAAUUCUUCAUCUCGCCUAUUUGUCAGGGCACUAAUUCCAUUAAAUCAGGAAUUAGUUCAACGAUUUACCCAUUCACUAGGGUACUAAUCCCAUUAACCAAAGACUUAAUUCCUCAUCAUGCCCAUUCACCGGGACAUUAAUCCCAUUAAUUUAGGAAUUAGUUCAACGAUUUGCCUAUUCACCAGGGUUCUAAUCCCAUUAACUAGAGAAUUAAUUCCUUAUCACGCCCAUUCACCAAGGCAUUAAUCCCAUUAGUUCAAGAAUUAAUUCAUCACAUCGCAUAUCUUAUUUUCUAAUAUAAUAAUUUCAUAUUUAUCAACCAUAAUUAAUGAAAUAAAAAUACAUAUUGACCAAUAAUAAAUUCAGGUACCGUGUAAUUACCUGAUGACUAAGCUCGAGCUGAAAUUUCCUGCUGUGGUGUCGGCCUGGCAGCCUCUCUUGAAUUGACAAGUAUAUCACAUCAUUAUUCUACUUUUCAUAUUAAAAUACUCAAUAAAUAAAAUCAUUCCAAUUAUCCUUUUAUUUGCCAAAAUAAAAUCAUUUUGUAAAUUUCCUUCCUAUUCUUUCAAUUUCCACAUUGUAACACAAUUCAUUUCAUCAUUCAAAUCAAUAUAUAUAUUCUUUAAAUUUAUUUAUUUAAUUUUUACAGUAAUUUAAAUCAAAGAAAAACAUAAAAAAAUUUCAUGAUCUAUUCACUCUUUAACAUUAAUAUCAUCUCUUUCUUACACAAUCUCAUCAUCUUAUCAAAACUCUUAAAUUUUUAUUUUUCUUAUUAUUAGUUUUCCAAAAAUCACUUCUUCAAGAACACCUAAAAUUUUGCUUUAAUUACCAUAAUUUCUUACUUUCCCUACUCACUUCAAUAAUCUUAACACAAUUUCACAAUCAAUUGUAAUUUUCUCUAAAAUUUAUCAUGAACCCUAAUUCCUCAUUUCACAAAGUUCAAUCAAUUUAAAGCAUAAAUUCUUCGAGAAUCUUAUUUAAAAGUGUGAGGACAUCUUACCAAGCAAUAACCAAAGCUUUAACACUUUUAAAUUGAGAAAUUUUCCUUGCUUGAAUUUGUUUUUCCUCUCCUGGCCGAAUGCUUCUUUCUCUUUGAAAAAGCAAGUUUUUUUUUUUUUGUUUCCUUAUAUCACACACUUACUUGCACUCAUAUAUAUAUAUAUAACUCUUUUUUUAAAUACCUUCCACAUCCCUCAAUUUUUUCUUUCCCCCUACACACAUAUAAUUACUUAACUUUUUAAAAAUACCUUCUAUAUUCCUUAAUAGUAAAUUUUAUGAUUUUUGGGUAAAAUUUCUUGAAUCCUAAUGCCUGUUUAUACCAAAUUUUAUCCAGGUUAUUUCAAAUUUCACUCAGUUACUCGUUAGUAUUUUCAGUUUCAUGAAAUUCAUUUCCAUAAAAAUUUUAUUCACAUUUUCAUGUUUAUUUAUUUAUAUUUAUUUUUUAUAUAUAUUUUAACACCCGAACAAAACAUUUCAAUUCAGAUUCUCGAAUAUAUCAUCAUUCUUAUAAUUUAAUUUAUCACUUUUCCUCAUUUUUUUUAAUCUUAACUUUUAUUAAUAUCAAUAAUAUUACCCGGGGUUUUACAGUCUCAGUUGGCACUGAUUUUUGCCAUAAAAAAUGGUUGAUUUUAAUGAUUUUUUUUAAUAUCUAUAUGUUUUUUAUAUAUUUUAUAUGAAUAAACUUUAUUUUCAUGACGUGUUUAUAAAAAUAAGAAUUAUUUGUUCUUGGUAAGAAAAAGUGACCUUUAAGAUUAAAAAGAAGAAAAGGAGAAAAGUGACCUUUAAGAUUAAAAGUAUCUGCUCGAAAAAACCAUUCAACAUAAGAUUGCUCUGCUAGGAAAACAUGAUAUCAGUAUCAAACUUUUGAACAAAGAGUUCAGCAUCAAGUCUCAGUCAUCUGGAGAUUUGAAUGCCCAAAUAUAUUCACAUGCUCAUACAAUAACAUUUUAAAAAUGCAUUAUGCAAUAGAAACAGAACAUCAAACUGACAGAGAAAACAUGCUGAUGCAGAAAAUACUCAAGUCGUAGAAAGGAGAACGCAUGAAAGUCCACACAUUAAACCAAAAGAAACACAAAUGGGCAAGCAAACAUGCGCCCUUACUUCUGGAGGCUUGUACGAUAAUGGGCAAGCAACAUUGUUUUUUUGAGGUUCGCACAGUAAUGACUAAAUACACAACAUGACAUUACUCCUGUGCUGUCAACAAUUCUUCUAACUUCUUCAGCAAUGUGAAGCCAAUUUGUAUCCCAUUGCCAAUGGAACAGUUGGAAUUAUUUCCCACCAAAUCUAAAACAUAUUCGCAGCACCAACCUUGAAAUCAUGUAACAGUUAACCACCAUUCAACAUGAGAUUGUUCUGCUAGGAAAACAUGAUAUCAAACUUUUGAACAAAUAGUACAGCAUCAAGUCCAAAUAUAUUCACAGCUCAAAGACAUGAGUCUCCAUCUUCUUUCCACCCCAUAUUUCUGGUCCACUCUCUAUUAAUGCUUGAAUCUUCAGCUACUUCAGGUACCUGUAAACCAAUUCAAGCAUGGCAUGCUCAUUUAACUUGUAAUCUUAUUAUUGAGAGAAACAAGAAACAAACAUACUAAAAGAGAGGCAAGAAAUCAAGUCAAAUCAGCAGCACCUCUGAUUGAGCACUCAUUGAACCAUCUGGUGUAGUAGCAAAUUUUGUGGUCAGCUUUGGACAUUGAUGGACCUUCAACUUCUCCAAACGAGGGAAUAAGAAAUAAUCACACCAUCCGAAACUAAAACAGACAAUACUUGAUAAUUGUUCUAGCGACAACUCCUUUAGAUUAGGAAGCACUAUCUCCUUCUCAACGUUGAUAGGUGAAGCUUGACCAUCCUGCUCAGGAGACUCUGGAAUUAUUUCCCUUUCACCAUCCUCUUCUCUGAUAAUAUGCUUCAAUUGACCGCAUUUACUUAUGUAAAGUCUUUGUAGCUUUGGCAGACUUCGAGCGAGGGACGGUGUGAAGAUAAAUGUCAGUUUGUUGAGAGACUCCAAAUUCAGACGAUUAAGACUUUGGAGGCUGACAUGUCUAGAUUGUUGUAUUAAACUCAAUCCAUCCAGAAGGUCAAGGAAGGCAGCCACCAGCUGUCACCGCCCAGCCACCAACCGGCCAGCCGCCAGCCACCAGCUGUUUGCCGCCACAGCCGCCAGCCGCCUUCACACUUGAAGGUUGAAUUUUCUUGUUUUGAAUUCGUGUAUAAAUAGCAAGCUAAGCUUAUGUUAUUCUGUGUGGAGAGAGUAGAGAGAAACACUAGAGAGAAAGAGAGAGGGCGUGUAUUGUGUUAAGCUUUUGUGUUAAGUAAUUGUAAGCUUUUGUUCUUGAAAUAAAACAGUGUGUUUUAUCCCCUCCGAGUGUUUCAAAGCCACCACCAGUGGUUUCUCCCACCAACAAUUGGUAUCAGAGCCCCGUUCGUCAGAAAACAGAAGUGUUUUGGGAGAUAUCCGAAUUUUCAAAGUUGUCAAAAACAAGUUUUGAUCAUUCCAUUGUAUAGAGCUCAUCCAUACGAACUCACUGCCGCAAAAAUCAGCUCAAUCGGACACCGGGGUGAGCCACACGCGCCGCCUGAAGAUCCGGUGACUGUAGCCCAGUCUCACCCACGCGCGCCAGAGGAAGAAGACGAGUGACGUCCACGCGCGCCAUAUUUGAGCCGUUAAGCCGAGCCGAGCCGAGCUGCAAGCCAAGCCUCCAGCCGCGCCGAAGAAUAUUCCCAAGAAUAUUCCCUUUUCAAGCCGAGCCGCUAUUAGCCGAAGCCGAGCCGAUAGAAUAUUCCACAGAAUAUUCCCGGUUCAACCCAGCAAACCGCCCGACGCCCAGAAUUGGUUUUUUGACCGGUUCACCCAUUUUCUGACCUGAUUUCUACAAAGUCAAACCGGUUCCCGACUAUUUCGACCAUUCCGGAUCGAUCUACAAUGUCGGUUUUGCCAAAUUCAACUCCCAGAAGGAGAUAUAGUCAUUAAAAGAGCAAAAUGACUACAGAAAGUACACAAACACUCAUCCCGAAGCUGACCAAAGACAACUAUGAUAGUUGGUGCAUAAGAUUAAAGGCAUUUCUUGGUUCACAAGAGUGUUUGGAGAUUGUACACUAUGGUUAUGAUGAACCAGAGUCUAAAGAAGAAGAAGAUGCUUUACAAGAGGCACAGAAGCAAGCCCUGAAAGUCAACAGAAAGAAGGACAACAAAGCAAAGACCAUCAUCUACCAAGGUCUUGAUGAAGAUACAUUCGAGAUCAUAGCUUCCGCUGAAACAUCAAAAGACAUAUGGGAGGCUCUCCAACAAAAAUACAAAGGUGCUGACAGAAUCAAGAAGAUUCGUCUUCAAUCUUUGCGAGGUGAAUUUGAGUUAUUGCAAAUGAAGUCCUCAGAAUCUAUUUCUGAUUAUCACACAAGGAUUAUGGUGAUAGUCAAUCAGAUGAGGAGAAAUGGAGAAGCCAUCAUAGAUUCUCGAAUUACUGAGAAAAUUUUGAGAUCCCUAGAUCCAAAAUUUGAUUUUGUUGUUGUCGCUAUUGAAGAGUCCAAGGAAGUGGACAAGUUGACAGUUGAUGAGCUUAUGAGUUCUUUGCAAGCUCAUGAGCAGAAGAUUGUAAAGCGAAAUGGAGAUAAGGCCAUCGAGCAUGCCUUACAAGCAAAGAUGUCUCUCAAGGACAGAUAUGAGCAAGGGGAGACUUCAACAAGUGGAUAUACCACUCAAGCAGGAAGUCAACAAUCCAGAGGAGGAUUCCAGAGAUUCCAAGGAAGAGGUUCUUGGAAUACAAGCUUUAGAGGAAGAGGUGGUAGAAACACCACCAGAGGAGGUAGAGGACAGCAAGCAUUCACUCCUAGAGGAAGAGGAGGCGGUUACAAUAACCGUGACAAGAGGAAUAUCCAAUGUUAUAGUUGCAAUCAAUUUGGGCACUAUAGCACUGAAUGCAGAAGGAAAGCUCCGUUGGAGAUACGUGAGCAAGCCAACUAUGCAGAGAAGGAUGACAUAGAAGCUGCAUUUCUUGUCCAACAAGAACUUGGCGAGAAACAGGAAAAUAUAUGGUAUCUAGAUACUGGAGCCAGCAAUCACAUGUGUGGCUACCGAGAGUUAUUUAGUGAUCUAGAUGAGACCAAGCAAGGUCUAGUUACUUUUGGAGAUACCUCAAAGGUUCCAUUCAAAGGUAAAGGCAGCAUCCCAAUCAAGUUGAAGAACGGCGAUUCCAGCUACAUCGCCAAUGUUUAUUAUGUCCCAGCCAUAAAGCAGAACCUGAUCAGCUUAGGUCAACUUUUGGAGAGAGGAUAUACUUUUUACUCGAAGAAUUGCCAUCUGACAAUUAGAGACAACAAUUGGAGAUUAAUGGCCUAUGUGAAAAUGUCCAAGAAUAGGAUGUUUCCUUUGAACAUCCAGUAUGAUGCAGCAAGGUGUUUGAGUGCCAUCACCAACAGUGAAGAAUGGCUCUGGCACCUGAGGCUUGGACAUCUGAAUUUCACGAGCUUGAAGAUGCUAGCAAGCAAGAAGAUGGUCAAAGGUAUGCCUCACAUUGAUCAUCCAGAUGAAGUCUGUGAGAGUUGUGUCCUCAGCAAACAUCACAGAUCCAGUUUUGCCAAAGAAGUCAACUGGAAAGCAAAGAGGCCACUGGAGUUAGUACACACAGAUGUGUGUGGCCCAAUAACGCCUAUGUCGACUGGACAGAAUAGGUACUUCCUCACUUUUAUUGAUGAUUUUAGUAGAAAGACGUGGAUAUACUUUCUGAAGAGGAAGUCAGAAGUAUUCAAUUGUUUUAAAGAUUUUAAAGCAAUUGUGGAGAAGCAAAGUGGUUACAUGAUCAGAACAGUGAGAUCUGAUCAAGGUGGAGAAUAUACAGCAAAUGACUUUGAAGCCUUCUGUACACAACAAGGCAUCAGACAUCAAACAACGCCUGCUUAUACACCACAGCUGAAUGGUGUAGCUGAAAGGAAGAAUCGCACGAUUCUUGACAUGGCAAGAAGUCUGCUCAAAGCAAAGAAGUUGCCCAAGCAAUACUGGGCUGAAGCUGUAUCAUGUGCAGUGUAUCUACUGAAUCGCUGCCCAAACAGAAGUUUGCAAGGUGUCACUCCAGAAGAAGCUUGGAGUGGUCACAAACCAAGUGUUACUCAUCUACGAGUCUUUGGUUGUGUGGCAUAUGCAAAGAUCCCAGAUGCAAGAAGGAGAAAACUCGAUGAUAAAAGCGAGAGAUGCAUCUUUGUGGGAUAUGGUGAAAGAAGGAUGGGAUACAAGCUGUAUAAUCCCAUCACGAAGAAGGUGAUUAUGAGUAGAGAUGUUAUCUUUGAAGAAGAUAAAUCUUGGGAAUGGACUGAUAAUAAAGAAGCAGUUAGAUGGAUCAACAUUGAUUUGAUCCUUGAAGGUGAAGAAGUACCAACAGUACUUGUCGAAGAACCGAUUGUGCCAGCAGCUGAACCACAAAGUCCGGUGAUUAUACCAGCAGCUGAACCACAAAGUCCAGUACACAGAUUCCCUGUAUUCAACAGGAGGAACACACCAGGAGCAUCAUCAUCAACACCAGCAGCAGCAUCCUCGUCAGAAGGACCAAGAAGGAUGAGAAAUCUUGACGAGUUGUACGAUGCCACGCAAGUCAUCGAAGAUACAACUCUAUUUUGUUUCUUUGCAGACAAUGACCCACUUAGCUUCAACAAAGCUAUCACAGAAGAGAAGAUAGAAGCAAUGGAUAAAGAAAUGCAUGCCAUUGAGAAGAAUGAUAUCUGGAAGCUGACUUAUCCACCAGAAAGCAAGAAAGCAAUAGGUGUCAAAUGGGUCUAUAAGAAAAAGAAGAAUGCAAAAGAAGAAGCGCAAAAAUACAAAGCCAUUGAAGAGGGAAACAUUUAUCAGAAUGAAGUUCAUGCUUGGCAUGACAUCCCUCGAUUGAGUUUAAAGGGGAGAUUUGUUGUAUUAAACUCAAUCCAUCCAGAAGGUCAAGGAAGGCAGCCACCAGCUGUCACCGCCCAGCCACCAACCGGCCAGCCGCCAGCCACCAGCUGUUUGCCGCCACAGCCGCCAGCCGCCUUCACACUUGAAGGUUGAAUUUUCUUGUUUUGAAUUCGUGUAUAAAUAGCAAGCUAAGCUUAUGUUAUUCUGUGUGGAGAGAGUAGAGAGAAACACUAGAGAGAAAGAGAGAGGGCGUGUAUUGUGUUAAGCUUUUGUGUUAAGUAAUUGUAAGCUUUUGUUCUUGAAAUAAAACAGUGUGUUUUAUCCCCUCCGAGUGUUUCAAAGCCACCACCAGUGGUUUCUCCCACCAACAUAGAUGGCCCCUUCCAUAUACAUUUGAGCUCAGGUAAACAUGACAGCCGUAACUCUGUUAAAGAUGACAGAAGCGGUAGCUCCUUCUCCUCACUACUUCCUUCAUCAGGCUCACCUAAUUCAAAUACCUCUUCCAAUGAUUUACAGCUGUCAACAAUCACCUCCUCUAGAUUGUUCAAAGCUCGGAGCAAUUUUGCUGGAAACGGAGUGCGAACAUCCCCACAAUCGUCCACUCGUACAAAUUCUAAUCUUUGUAAGAAGCCGUUUUGCUGCCCAUGGACGACCAUCUUAUCAGAGAACAAUAUUAUAUUUUUUCACUCAUAAAAACAAUUUAUAUGAUGAGAGAAAAAAAAAAAAACAGGAUUACAUACUUUUUAGAGAUUACAUAUUAUUGUUUCAGUUUUUUUCUUAAUUAGAGAUAAGUUAAAUAAUAAUUAGAUUUUUGCGAAAAAAGGUUACUACAACUCCUAAUAAUUAGUUUCAUGUAAAAAAUAAAAAUAAAAAUAGUAACUAAUAUUUUUAUUUUAGUUAUAAAGUUAAUAAAUUUUUAAAGAUAUUUUAAUUGAAUUAAAUAUUUGAACACAAAAUAAGCUAAUAUGAUUUCUAUGAUUAAUUGUUGGUAUUAAGUUUCUUAUAUUUAUAUAUGUUUAGAUAAAACAAAAAAAUAAGCAGUGACGAAGAAAGAAUAAAUCUAACAGAUAAUAUAAAUUACGUAAAUCAUGAGGCAGUUAAAUCUAACAGAUAAUAUAUUUCAAAUGAGGCAGUCAAAUCUAACAGAUAAUAUAUUUCAAAUGAGGCAGUCAAAUCUAACAGAUAAUAUGUUCUUCCAUAUGAUUAAUUUUUAAUAACGCAGACAACAAUGAGGCAGUUAAGUUUUUUAUAUUUAUAUAUGUUUACAUAAAAAAAUAAAUCAUAAAAAAAUAAAAAUAAGCAUUUAUCAAUUACUUUACUUUUAGAAAUUGGGAGGAAGAAAGAAUAAAUUAUCGCAAUUGACAAUUUAAUUUAGUGGAGAAAUAUAAAUUACGUACUUGUAGCUGUGCCAACCAAUUACCCACUUCUUCGUGGCCUUCAAUGGUUAAUCUUUGCAAGGGCAAUUGAGCAUCAAAAUUCCUUGGACCUAAAAAGCUGUAAUUAGAUUGGAGCCAAAGAGAAAAUUCUCUUAGCCGAGGGAACUUGAUGAUGCCAUCUCUGGUAAGUGCAUCUCCUUCUCCACCGUAAAAUAUUUGCUUUAAAUUGUCAGCACGAGCAAUCCUCAUCUGUUCCAGGUUCGUAAGACUUGGAGACAUGGAGACAGGGAAGACAUAUUCCAGUGAAAAACAGAAAGAUAUGUUGAUUUUUUUUAAUUUUGGGAAGCGAGGAGACUCUGGAAUUAUUUCCCUUUCACCAUCCUCUUCUCUGAUAAUAUGCUUUAAUUCACCGCAUUCAUUUAUGCGAAGGCUUUCUAGCUUUGGCAGAUUUCGAGCGAGGGACGGUGUGAAGAUAAAUGUCAGUUUUUUGAGAUCUGAAACUUUCAGAUGAACAAGAUUUUGGAGGCUGACAUGUCUGGUGGGCCCCUUCCAUAUGCAUUUGAGCUCAGGUAACUCUUGCAGCUUUAACAGUGUUAAAGAUGACAGCAGCUCCUUCUCCUCACUGCUUCCUUCAUCAGCCUCACCCAAUUCAAAUACCUCUUCCAAUGAUUUACAGCUGUGAACAAUCACCUCCUUUAGAUUUUUUAAACCUUGCCGCAAUUUUGCUGGAAACAGAGUGAAAACAUCCUCACAAUCCCUCACUUUUACAAAUUCUAAUUUAUGUAAAAACAAUUGCUCAAAUGUCUUCGCAUUGAAGGAUGUACCAGCCAAAAUUAAUCUUGUCGAGGUUGGGUAUCGUCCUGCAUCAAACCGAUUCCCAAAUAUUAUAUCAUAUUUGCGCAAGCUAACUGGAAAAACAAAAUCUCUGGGAAUGCAUUCAACCUUCGGUAUCCACAAUGAUAAUACGGCUAACUGAGACAACGAAUUUAGUUCUGUUAGGCUUGCAUUCAUUCCUCCUGUGCUGUCACAUCCAACAGCAUCCCAUCCCUGAAAGCUGCGAUCCCCGAUCAACAGCUCUUCUAACUUCUUCAACCUUCCAAUCAAAUUCACAGGGAUCCUUCUUAGCCUUUCACAACCUGUCACAUCCAACAACCUUAACUCCUUGAGCUCUCCUAUUUCAUCAGGUAAUUCUUCAAUGGAUAAGCACCGUCUAAGACCAAGAAUCUUAAGUCUCUGCAGCUUUCUCAACCCAAUGAGGUCCUUGCAUCCACACCUGAUCAACACCAACGAUUGAAGUUUCGUUGAGAGUUCAAGUGAUUGCAAUGACAAGCACCCUCCCUUCAGAGACAAAACUUCAAUUUCUGUCAUCCCUUCAAAAAACCUCUGAGGAACAUUCAAACCAGAAUCCACUUCCAAUAAUAGAACUUUGAGCUGUGGGCAUACCAAUCCUUCAGGAAGUUCUGCUAGUUUAUUGCCCAUUAACGAAAUUGUUGUACAACCUUCAAAGCUUUUACCCGUCCAUUGCCAAUUCUCUAACCCUAAGCCAGCCUUGACCAUGAAUCCAUAUUCUUUUGAUGCUAUCUGAAUAGCAACAUCACGAACAAGGUCAUGCAUUUUCACAUGUUCUUCAGUUUCAGAGCCCAACAGCAUGCAACAAUCUUUGAGGUUUUCGAUUGCCACAGAAACUCGUUUCCUUGCAUCUUCAAUGGGCUCCGCAUCUUGAUGUAACCCAUAGCCAACUGCAUAUCUCGUCAAGUCCUCGAUUGGAAUGUCAUAAUCUUCUGGAAAUAAACAGCAUAGCACGAAACAUGACUUGGUUUCCUCGUACUUCAAAUAAUCAUAGCUCAACUUAAGACAUGUGUAAGCAUUAUUUUGUUCAUCAAUUUGUUCCAUGCGCACAAAUUGAGAUUCUUUGAGCUGUUUAGACGCUACUUCCCACUGAACUCGUGAUUUACCUCUUAGAGCCCUUCCCACUGUCACAAGUGCUAUAGGCAAGCCUUGGCAUUCUCUCGCAACCUCCCUUGCCACUGUGUUCAAGGUAGAGUCCCCAUCACGUAAACCUGCAUUGAUACUGAAUAAAUCCCACGCUUCAUCUUCAGGUAAGACUCUUAAAUGCACUUUUUGCUGGCACUCCAUAGAAAAACAUAUGCCUUGAACACGUGUUGUUAGAAGAAUUUUACAACCCCUGUGAUCAUCACCAAAUGGGAUCCCUAUCUCUUUCAAGUCAAUAUGUUUCCAAACAUCAUCCAGGGUUAUAAGCAUCUUCUCCACUUUCUUCAGUCUCUGCCGUAAUCGAUCUGCUCUCCCUUCUUUACUGUUUUCUUCAAUUUUCAAACCUAACAUAUCUGCCAUUCGGUUCUGAAUGUCUAUGACAUUUGGAUUCUGCGACACCGUAGCCAUCAAAACUUCAUCAAAAAGCUGCGACUCUCUGGCUAUCGUGCCUACUCUUUUCACCAGGGUGGUUUUACCCACCCCUCCCAUGCCGUACAGUCCGAUCAUAUUGGCGUUGUCAUCUUUGCGAGCUUUCAUAAUCUGUUCCAAAGCUUCUUUUGAAGAUUCUGAGGGCGUGAAUUCCUUUGAUGGAAGAAAUUCUAUGGGCUGAGGAGGAAAUUUGUGGGCCACUUUUGUAAACUUUGUUUCUGAAAGUCUCCGACUCCUUGGCCAGUGCCUUGCUUAACUUGAAUUGUCGAAUGCAGUUUGGACACCAAGUGAAGCAUUUGCCAUUUUUUCCUAUUUCUUUUUCCAAGGGCUUCGCACCUUCAAUUUUGCUGUUUGCAUCUUCCAUCCACUUUUUGACACCUUUCUUAAUUUCUUCAGCAUUCCUUUCAGCAGCUUCGACUUCUUUUUGCAGACCAUCUAGUGCUAAAGCAAGGUUCUCCUUUUGUUCUUUGAAUUCUUCAACAAAAUUGUUGAAACAGAACAUGUAACGGAACUGCCUUCCUACUGGUUCCACCAUGAGUUCUGCUAUCUUAGAUAUAAUGGAUCCACCCACACUUUCG